This 54290-nucleotide long non-coding RNA is filed under the name Triticum aestivum (bread wheat). RNAcentral describes it as "long non-coding RNA (TAES_LNC006394)". The stretch from base 52136 to 52260 matches the Rfam family "MIR1120/MIR1122 microRNA precursor family". Lineage: Eukaryota; Viridiplantae; Streptophyta; Magnoliopsida; Poales; Poaceae. The record is from RNAcentral.
UUUUUUUUUUGGUCACUCAGAAAAUUAAGUUUCUCAAGGGUCAUUUAGUCUCGCAAAAAAAUAUAUAUGAAAAUAAUAGGGAUGGCUUGCUCGGGCCGGUUCGGUGGGUUCACGUGGGCGGGAGCCGCUUGGUUGCAAGUCAGAGGGGUGGGUGGACUUCGCUCGUCGUCGCGCGCCGAGUUGGGAUUUGAGGUAGGAAUCGCCCGGAAGAGGACAAGAUGUGCUGGACCUGGAUCGGAAGCGGAGCUCAAAUCUAUCUAUCUAUCUAUCUAAUGCUACCAUUGACUUUUCUCACUCAUGCGGCAGCAGCACUCGUUUGCCUUUGCGUGCGUGAUCUAGCCCGGCUCCCCCGUGGACCGGACGGAUCCCCCCUUUCCGUUUUCGGGAACGAUGCGGCUCCCACACUGCCGCUGUUCCGUUUGAAACAAGAGUGUUUGGAGGGCCCUGCUCUGCUGGCCGGCAAGUGGCCAUGUCAACGGAGCAGCUCCGGCUUUUCCGUCCGAAAGCCGGGCGAGGCAAAUGUCAACAAGCGCUGCCAGCUCUGCAGGUCAGCUAUGGCAGCGGCCCCCUGCUGCUACAACUGGGCGGAUUCCCGUUGUGCGACUCCAAGGCGGCAUCCGAUCCGAUCCCGUCCAACUCAGCCGCUUUGGCGGACGCGCUUGUUGGAGUAUUCCUUGUUCCUCUCUGCACCUGCUCAGCUGCUGCCCGGUCCUCAAUUAUUUCUGAGGGUGAAGUCCUCCUCCGUUUCACUCUCACAGUCACCGUCGCCCGUAAAACGUAAUAAUCUACCGUCAGAAAUAACUCCACGAUAACAACGGCGGCGAGGCGACGCCUACGUACGUGCCACCGCAAAAAUACAUACGCACCGGCCGGCGCAAGAGACACUUCACAGUCGACUAGUAGUAGUACUGGCUACGGAGCAGCGGCCUGCGUGCCUGCCCCGGGUCAAAGGCAAACGUGCAUGCGGGAACAAACGAGCGAUCGGCAUCCAUGGCGACGGCCGGCGUCGCUUCCUUCCUCCCGAUCUGUCGAUCUUUUUCUGUGGUGCUGCGCGCGCACGUACGUGGUCGGAGGAGCGGCCGGAACCGGGGCGGUGAACGGCGAUCGCACACAUGGGUGGACGUGGAGCAGCGGCGGUGCGGGCGAGGUCAGCCGGGCCGCGUAUAGGUAUGUAUGUACGUGAAUGGUCGUCGCCCAAGGUAAUCAUGGCGUCUAAAAGUUGUGGCCGGCGGCGGCAUCAGCUGCUUUACGUAUUAAUCGCUCAGACUGUCACAUCCAUGGUGCUAAUAUACGUACACCUACGUUUGUUUUGCUUUUAUUUACGUGGUUGGAGUAAUUUUCUGAGGAUCAUGUAUGCGUACACCACGGCUUGUGGUAGGUACUCCCUCCCUCCGUUUCCAAGUGUAUAAGUCUUUCUAGAAUGUACAUAGCAAAAUAAGUGAAUCUACACUGUAUACAUACAUCCGUAUGAUGUAGUCUAUUUGAAAUGCCUAAAAAUACUUAUAUUUAAGAACGGAGGGAGUACCAAUUUUAAUAUCCCUCACGUGAUUGAUAAGGCAGUAACGAUUUUAAAGUCACCGCUGUGUUGGACUAGUUUGUCAACGGGUUUGGUAAUAAUUUUACGAGAUUUUUCCUUGGAAGACUUACGAAUCAUCCAGCCAAUAAUAUGUCAGCGUCCAUGUAUAGUCGUAUAUAUACAGCUAUUCUGUUGGACAAACGAGCAAGAGACUGAGGCCGCGUAGCAUAGUUAUUGUCAACUCGUUGACAGUUGGACGCAACUUCCGCGAUAAAACAUCAUGCAUGCACCUCCGAGAGAAAAGAAGUGUUGAGAAAGAUCUCGCUAGAGCGGAAUAAAACGUGCACGUAAAAAUAAUUAAUAGCCACCGAUCGCGUCGUAGAGGGAAAAGGGGGGGACAAUCGGACAAGAGCCACAAUAAAUUUCAGUGGUGGAGGUGGAAAGGCAGAUCUGCGAAAUCAUGAGUGGUCGUACGUGGGACACAAGCAGCUAGCUAGCUCCAUUGCCCUGGAUCACGGGGAACCAUGCAGGCCCGCAGCGCAACAACGACGCUCGCUCGCGGCGAAAUGACGGAGGCGAUUUCCUCCUCCUCCUCCUCGCUCGCAUUCGCAUGCCGGCCGGUGAGCGGAGCGUCGACCCUCACCCAAUGUCCACGGGAAAUGGUCCUGUGCAUGGCGUGCCAAUCAGCAGGAUCCAGAUGAACUUGCAAGCACGCGCGUGACGGGAGCUUAUAUGGCGGCGAGUGAAGUUUGAUUCAAACCCUGAAGUUGUAGAGCUCGACGGAAAUAAACCCUCACUUUCAAUUCUCUGAAAUUGGCACCAUGUACUCUUUGAUCCCGGUGUAAAUAAACCUAUAAUGGAUUUGAUGACAUGGCAUCAAGAGGCUGGGAUUGUUGACUUUGACCAGUACACGAAAAAUUAGUGUUGUGUCGCAGUAUUCGAUCUGUAGAUAUUUUACUGACAAAAAAAUAGUAUGACAGGCAACAGCCAAAGGGCCAGGGUGAUGUCCGUACUCGUCGUCCCAGGCUCCCAGCACAUGCCGUCGCCGUGCUCACGUGAGAGCCGGCGGCUAUCGGCGCCGCCGGUAAGAGCUCCACUGCCUCAUGUUUGUGCUCCAGCGCCUCGUCCGUCUAGAGCUUGCUUCGCCGGUAGAAUCUUGUGCGAACUCCACUGCUUUGUUGCUUAGGCCGAGGUAUAAUCUUGUGAACGUGAGGGAGAUGCUGGUCUUGUUCGACUCCGGCCAUGCAUCAGCACCACAACAAAGCUAGAAACAUGCAGAUGGUAGCAGUGAGCGCACAACGACAACUAGCAAGCAUGCAGUAGAAAUGGACUACACGCCAGUGGGCAUAUGGACUGGCAGGAUUGCCAUACGCCACCCCGUGACUAUCAGUUGCUGCCUUGUCCGUGCACGAGCGUGAAGUGAGAGGGUACUAAGACAGAGCUUGACGCGGCAGACCAGAUGGCCAUGGCUGCCUCCUCGGUGGCGGGGUCCUGCAACCUCCGCGGCCGGCGCAUGAUGAAGACAACGAACAGAGAGUGCCGUCAUGGACGUGCUACGCCUACGCCACACUCUACGGCACUGCCGCGAUGCCACACAGACACGCCGGGAGGAGGAAGAGCCUCAGCCUCCAAGGCUCCAACCGGUGCUCUUAGACGUUGUCGCGGAUACGUAAAAGAAAAUUUCGUCUGUGGUCGCCGUCGCCGCACCUGCUCGAUGCCGCACACACGGGAUGCGUUGGCCGGGAGAAGGAAGAGCCCUGAACAGGCGCUCUUUGACAUUGUUGCGGAUAAAAAAAUCGCAUGUUAGCGGUAGCCCUCGCCACGCCGCCGAGCUGCGGCAGGAGUCGGCCAUGGCAACGUCCUCGAGCCAGCACGGCGUCAAAAGUAGAAGCGAGAGCGAGGAAGAGGUGCAUGGCUAUAGAGCCGGGUUUAAUUUUGUGGGACCCACUCACAAAUGACCGUUCACUCACCGAUCCCGGUCUACUCCGGUGCCACGUAGCAAUCCUUCUGUUUGGAUACAGCCUCAAGGUUGAAAACGACCGGGAUUGAUGAGGUUAGGGUACCGAUUUCAGGGAUUUAGACAUGGAGGUUCAUUUUCGUCGAGCUCUACAACCUCAGGGUCUAAAUCAAACUUCACCCUAUGGUGGCAGACUGGCACGAUAGGAUCGAGCGGUACAUUUUUGGUCCCCGGCUAUCAUCCCUUUUUUCAAAAAAAAAAAAAAGAAACCUUGUACUUUGGAAGCCGGACAAAUUUGGCCCUCGCUCGAUUUUACAGAUGAUGUGGCAAAUUUUUUGUACACAUGGCUGCUAAUCAACACACAAAAUAAUAAUGGGGAAAUACGACGAACAAGAAAAACUUGGGUAAACUAAUUUACAAAUCUAAAAAAACAGAGAAAAAUGCAAGUUUGAAGACAAAUUGACAACAAUCCCAGGAGAUUAUCACAUGGGGAAAAUAAUAGAUUUCUUAUUCUCUAUUUUUUUAUGUUUAUUAUAGAAUAUGGAAACCAUGAAAUUCGGUUUUAUUAUUCAUUUUUUAAUAACUAGACAAAUUUUCAACAAUUUUCUUUCAUAAAACUUUCAGGGUUUUGGCUCGACAGGGUUGCGGCCACGUGUGUGAACCCACCUUCCACACAGACUCAGGAAAUUGGUAAAUCUACUUUUGCUAGCGAAUAAGGGAUCGGAAGUAGAUUUUUUAUGUCACAAAGCUUAAGAGCAUAAUUUUUGUUACAACACAUCGCACGUGAGAAAAUUGCGAGACCUACUUGGGCGGCCGAAUAAAGGAUCAAAAGUACGUUUUUCAUGCCACAAAGGUGUAGGUACAUCUUUGUUUUAUUUUUUGAACACAGUACAGUCGCAAGCGCUCAUAUACACGCGCAUAGACUCAUCCCUAUGAAUGCACACACGCACACCCUACCCCUAUGAACACCUUCGAAAGACUGAGCCGGCACAUCAUUUUGAAAUUUACGAAGUCACCGUAGACACCUCGUCGUCGAUGGGAACGUCUCUUCCCACUAAAUGCGCAUCGUCGAAAAUUCUGAAAUAAAAGCAGGAAUAAAUACGAGCACCAGGAUUUGAACCCUGAUGGGCUGGGGAUACCAUAGUCCCUCUAACCAUCCAACCACAUGUUUGUUCAGGUACAUCUUUGUUACUACUACUGUACAACACAUACAAACACACACGAGUGUCCACUGAACGCCCACGUUAGCCCACGGGGAGGGUAGAUCCACGGGGAACUUGCUCGAUUUGUGAUCAUGUAACUGGAUUCGGCCGGGGUCGUAAUACUACGUACCCCUCCUCCGGCCAUGUCAUUCAUGUCUGAUGUUACUUGUAUUGGAGCAGCCACGGGACCCGUUGAAUCACCUUUCUCGUUGACCCGUAAGCACCACGCCCCUGUGUUGGCGCGAGCGGUAUUGAAUGUGCAUGGUAGACUUGGCAGGGUCACCUCCUUUUCCGCCCGUCGCCAUCGUCGUCGUCGUCCUCCUCGUCGCAGCCCCCAACAAUCAACCAACUCCUGCUGCAUUAUGCAACGCAAAACAAAUGUGAGACACACACACAUAUAUAAGCUCGCCAUCAAGCAAGCUAAGCAUGAAAGGUUAGUUUCGAUUGAGUUUCCUCUUUCUUGUCCUUUUGUUAAUCUGCUGAUGGGAAAGUGAUAAUUCAGCCAAUUGGUUUUUUAAAACAUCGUUAGCUUUUUACGCCUCCGGAAGUGGCUUUACAUGAAUCCAGCUAAGCUGGCGGUGUUGCACUAGAGCUGCUGUUGACAAAGGCAUGUCCAAAGAUUUUAAUUAGAAUUCACCUUUUUUAAUUUGAGCUUUUAUUUAAUUGUAAUCGACCGUUAAUUGCGCAUGCAUGUUGGCGCCAACCAUGUAUUGAUUAUAAAUGCAACAUUGGUGCAACUAUAGCUUUUUCAGAAACAUUAGGACAAGUAGCUAGUGCUCUUGAUCUUGUCGAGUCAUUGAUAGGGUAUAAAGAAUUGGGGAAACAGGAAAGGCACUUUGCAGUGCAACAGCUUAACCUAACAUGUGCUGCUGCAUCACAUGCGUGAAGUACUACAGUACAGGACACGCAUUAUGUUCGUGGCCACAUAUGAACAUCAGUGAACUGCCAUGCGAGAUGCGGUAGAAGUAGCUAGUAGCAACCAAAAGGCUAACUUACUGAACCUUCAUUUAGGUGUCAUGCACAUGAGCUUUUUGUGCUCGUCGUCAGAGCCAACCCAGCAAAUCUACCAAAUCAUCUUGGCAUGCUGCAUCUGCAUUUCUCUACUCGACGUUCACAGCUAGGAUAGCAUGAAGUUAAAAGGUUACUUGGAGUUACAAAGUGUAAAACACAUUUUUUUGGAAAAGGGGACCUCCCCGGCCUAUGCAUCGGAAAGAUGCAUACGGCCACCUUUAUUAAACAAGCAAAUAGGUUCAACACAAGUCUAAAAGUCUCAAACAAAGCUGCUCACAGGGAGCUAAGGAAGAAAAACAAAUGCCACAUCCAGCCGACAAGAGAAAGACAGGAAAACUAAUUGCUAUCCUAUUACAUGACCGCCAUCCAAACCGGUUGAAGAUAUCCCGAGCAACCAUCUCCCAUCGGAUAGAUCCAGUAACCAAACGCUCCAUGGCCUCCGUCGGAGUGAGUGAUGACCACAUACGGAUCCAAACAGUGGCUCGGAAUAUAACCUGCAAAAAAUGAGUAUUUGAUGUUCUGUUAAAGACUAAUUCUGCAAUUCCAGAUAGCCCAUAAUAACGCAUACUCCUACACGAAUGUGUCUCGCUGUUUGGGGCUCAAUCCCAUCCAACCACAUGCCAAAUAACGUGUUAAUAUUAUGUGGAGGAGUAAUAUUGAAGGCUAUGGUCACUGAUUGCCAUAGAAUUUUUGCCAUAGGACAAUCGAGAAAGAGGCGCUUGAUAGAUUCAUCUGUAUCACAAAAGCUACACCGACCAGAUCCAGUCCAGUUGCAUUUAAUCAAGUUAUCCUUAGUUAAAAUGACUUGUUUAUGCAUAAACCACAUGAACACUUUAACUCUCAAGGGAACUUUGAUAUUUCACACAUGUUUCGACGUAGGAAUGGAGCUAGAAUUAAUAACAUCCAAGUACAUGGAUUUAACCGUAAAUUCUUCAUUCCUCGUGAGCUUCCAACACAACCGAUAUGGACGUUGAGACAGUUGAACCUCCAUCAGUCUUCUCACAAGAUGAAGCCAAGCUUCCCAACGGUUACCGGCUAAAGCUCUCCUGAAGCUAAUAUGUAGAGGCGUGGACUGACAUACCGUCUCAACGGUUGCGUCUCUUCAUUGAACAAUAUUAUAGAGAGAAGGAUACUGGAUCGCCAAUGGCGUAUCCCCUAGCCAGGUAUCCUCCCAGAAUCUUGUAGAUGUACCGUUACCGAUAACCACCUUGGUCCGGUUAAAGAAGAGCGACUUAACUCGCAUCAGGCCUUUCCAGAAAGGCGAGUCCAUCGGCCUCACCGUCACCUGGGAUAAGGUCUUGAACUGAAGGUACUUAUUACGUAGAAUCUGGGCCCAAGUGGCCUCGGUCUCCCGAGAAAGCUUAUAUAGCCAUUUACUGAGGAGACAUUUGUUCUUUAGCUCAAGGUUUUCGAUCCCAAGACCCCCUUGGUCCUUUGGUCGACAAAUAAUGUCCCAUCUAGCUAAUCUAUACUUUCGCUUCAACUCAUCACUUUGCCAGAAAAAACGAGAUCGAUAGAAAUUGAGUCUUUACCGAACUCCCACUGGCACUUCAAAAAAAGACAAAAGAAACAUGGGCAUACUGGUGAGUACCGAGUUAAUAAGAACUAACCGGCCUCCAUAUGACAUCAGUUUGCCCUUCCAGCAUCCCAAUUUCUUCUCAAAGCGAUCCUCAAUGCACUUCCAUUCGCUAUUUGUUAGCUUACGGUGAUGAAUGGGUAUACCUAAAUACGUAAAAGGUAAAGCCCCCAAUUCACACCCGAACAAUUGCUUAUAUGCCUCUUGUUCCUCCUUGGCUCUACCGAAGCAGAACAAUUCACUCUUGUGAAAAUUAAUUUUCAGACCAGACAAUUGUUCGAACAAGCAUAACACCAGCUUCAUGUUUCACGCCUUCACCAAGUCAUGCUCCAUAAAGAUGAUAGUAUCAUCAGUGUACUGUAGGACAGAUACACCUCCGUCAACUAGAUGAGGUACCAAGCUACCUACCUGUCCAACAUCCUUAGCCCUCCCUAUUAGAAUUGUCAACAUGUCAACGACAAUGUUGAACAAAAUAGGUGACAUUAGAUCUCCUUGUCUCAGGCCCUUAUGUGUUUGGAAAUAACGACAUAUGUCAUCAUUCACUUUGAUUCCAACACUGCCUUGUUGCGUGAAAGAUUCUAUCUGUCUUCGCCAAGCUAGAUCAAAACCUUUCAUCCUCAACGCCUGUUGAAGGAAUGGUCAUUUGACUUUGUCUUACGCUUUUUCGAAAUCCACUUUGAAAGCCACCCCAUCUAGUUUUUUUGUAUGGAUUUCAUGGAGCGUUUCAUGCAGGACCACCACCCCUUCAAGGACGUUCCUAUCCGGCAUGAAAGCAGUUUGGGAUGGUUGCACCAUAGAAUGCGCAAUCUGCGUGAGUCUAUUAGUCUCAACCUUGGUGAAGAUUUUGAAACUUACAUUCAGAAGACAAAUGGGCCUAAACUGCUCAAUUCGGACCGCCUCUAUUUUCUUAGGCAACAAAGUAAUAGUUCCAAAAUUCAGAUGAAACAGUUGAAGUUGUCCAGCGAAUAAGUCGUUGAACAUCGGAAGCAAGUCCCCUUUAAUAAUAUGCCAGCAUCUCUUAUAAAACUCCGCCAGAAAUCCAUCCGGCCCUGGAGCAGAGUUACUCUUCAUUUGAGCAAUAGCUUCAAACACCUCUUUCUCUGAGAAUGGGGCAGUUAAGAUAUCAUUCUCAACUGAAGCCAACUAGGGGAUAUCCUCAUUCCGCGACUCAUCUAGAGAUACGAAAUUAUCCUCCGGAGGCCCAAAUAAUUUCUUAUAAUAUUCAGUUAUGUAUAGUUUUAGAUUUUCCUGCCCUACAAUCGUCCCUUCAUCUUGCUCAAGCUGAAAGAUCCUUUUCUUUCUGUGCUUGCCAUUAGCGAUCAUAUGAAAAAACUGAGUGUUGGCGUCCCCCUGGACCACUUUGCGUAUCUUCGCCCGCAAUGCCCACUUCAGUUCUUCUUCUCGCAGAAGCUCUUUCAACCUCAUCUCUACAUCUAGCUUAGCAUGAAGUUCCGUUGGAUCUAGGAUUGUGCACUCGGCUUUUACUUCUAAGGCCUAAAUAAGGGAAAGGAGCCUUUCCUUUUCGACCUUAUACACCCCACUAAGAUGUUUAGCCCACCCUCGUAAGAAACUUCGCAGGUGACGAAUCUUAUUAUGCCAUCUCUCUAUUGGAGUUCUGCCUCCUAAAUCUUUAGACAAUUCCCUGGCUAUAAGAUCCAAAAAACCUUCUCUCUCAAACCAAGCUAGUUCAAAAGAAAAGAUAUUCUUGUUCCCCACGUGUGUUGCCUCCCCAGAGUCAACUAGCAAUGGGGUGUGGUCCGAAAUUCCGCUCGAUAACGUCUGUACGGUGACUAGAGGAAACUUUUGUUCCCACUCAACGCUCGCGAGUACACGGUCAAGCUUCUCAAAAGUAGGAGUAGGCAAAGAAUUAGCCCAUGUGAAUUUUCUGCCCGAAAGCUCUAUCUCUCCCAGAUCCAAGCUUUCAAUAAUGGUGUUAAACAUAAACGACCAUCUGCCAUCGAAAUUGUCAUUGUUCUUUUCGUCCCUCCUUCUAAUGAUAUUGAAAUCUCUCCCUACUAAGAUUGGAAGUUGUUCUGAUCCGCAAAUACGGACUAGAUCCGCCACAAAGUCUGGUUUUAAUUCUGGCUGUGCAGCACCAUAUACCGCCACCAAGGCCCAAUUAAAUCCGUCGAUCUUGGACCUAACCCGAAAUUUGACAGGGAACUCUCCCAUGACCACACUCCGGACUUCCAGCGUCUCACAUCUAACCCCAAGUAAGAUGUCGUCUGAUCUUCCUCUCGAAGGUAGACAAUGCCAAUCAAAAUCGGCCCCUCCCGACAACGUAUUGAGGAAUUGAGGCGCAAAAUUGCCUGUAGAUUUGUUAAUUAAGAAUCACCCAAAACAUAGUUAAAGCUCAAUCGACCAGGAAGGACUAUUGAUGGGAUGGGACUAUGAAAACCGUGCAUGAUUUCAUAUGUUUGUGAAAUCUGAGAACAAAAACUACUCCUACAACUUUUAUAUUGAAUGAACAAACUAUUACUAUGUUUCCUUUUACUCCGCAUAUUAGUAUUGUCUUAAGAAAGUUUGACUUAACAUGAAACGAAUAUGGAGAGUGAAAAAACAAAGAAAGUACUCCCUCUGUCCGGAAUUAUUUGUUGCGGAAAUGAAUAAAAAUGGAUGUAUCUAGAGCUAAAAUAUGUCUAGAUACAUCGAUUUCUACAACAAGUAUUUCCGAACGGAGGGAGCACAUAACAGUGAGCAAUCUUUUAGAUAUGCAUUAAAUUACGUAUAAAAUCGGUUGAAAAUUAGUUAAUACUUGGUCAGCCAAGACAGGUAGACACUCAACAUAAGCAAUGAGACUUGAUAACUCCACCAAUGUAACAAUUAACAAAAUAAGUUGAUUGCAUGACACCCAAAUAUUAUUACAUGGUGGUAGUUUGACCCCGAUAGUUUGUACAUAGAUUCUGUUGGGGAACGUAGCAGAAAUUCAAAAUUUUCCUACGUGUCACCAAGAUCUAUCUAUGGAGAGACCAGCAACGAGUAGAAAGAGAGUGCAUCUACAUACCCUUGUAGAUCGCUAAGCGGAAGCGUUCAAGUGAACGGGGUUGAAGGAGUCGUUCUCGUCGUGAUUCAAAUCACCGAUGAUCAAGUGCCGAACGCACGGCACCUCCGCGUUCAACACACGUACAGCCCGGUGACGUCUCCCACGCCUUGAUCCAGCAAGGAGAGAGGGAGAGGUUGAGGAAGACUCCAUCCAACAGCAGCACAACGGCGUGGUGGUGGUGGAGGAGCGUGGCAAUCCUGCAGGGCUUCGUCAAGCACCGCGGGAGAGGAGGAAGACUUGGGAGAGGGGAAGGGUUGCGCCAGAACUUUGUGUAUAGCUCCCAUGCGCCUCCCCACUAUAUAUAGGGGUGGAGGGGCUGGUUUCUUGCCCUCCAAGUCCAUUGGGGCGUUGGCCAAGGUGGGAGGAAAGAAAUCUCAUUAUUUCCUUCCCCACCGAUUGUUAUCCCCCCUUUUUAGGGAUCUUGAUCUUAUCCCUUCGGGAUAUGAUCUUAUUCCUUCUAAGGGGGGAUCUUGGUGCGCCUUGACCAGGGGUGUGGGGCCUUGCCCCCACUACCCACGUCCAUGUGGGUCCCCCCAUGCAGGUGGGCCCCACUCCGGAACCUUCUAGAACCUUCCCGGUACAAUAUCGAAAAAUCCCGAACAUUUUCCGGUGGCCAAAAUAGGACUUCCCAUAUAUAAAUCUUUACCUCCGGACCAUUCCGGAACUCCUCAUGACGUCCGGGAUCUCAUCCGGGACUCCGAACAACAUUCGGUAACCACAUACAAACUUCCUUUAUAACCCUAGCGUCGUCGAACCUUAAGUGUGUAGACAUGACCGAGACGUUCUCCGGUCAAUAACCAACAGCGGGAUCUGGAUACCCAUGAUGGCUCCCACAUGUUCCACGAUGAUCUCAUCGGAUGAACCACGAUUUCAAGGACUUAAUCAAUCCCGUAUUCAAUUCCCUUUGUCUAUCGGUAUGUUACUUGCCCGAGAUUCGAUCGUCGGUAUCCAAUACCUUGUUCAAUCUCGUUACCGGCAAGUCACUUUACUCGUUCCGUAACACAUCAUCCCGUGAUCAACUCCUUGGUCACAUUGCGCAUAUGAUGAUGUCCUACCGAGUGGGCCCAGAGAUACCUCUCCGUUUACACGGAGUGACAAAUCCCAGUCUCGAUCCGCAUAAAACAAUAGAUACUUUCGGAGAUACCUGUAGUGCACCUUUAUAGUCACCCAGUUACGUUAUGACGUUUGAUACACCCAAAGCACUCCUACGGUAUCCAGGAGUUACACGCUCUCAUGGUCGAAGGAAGAGAUACUUGACAUUGGCAAAGCUCUAGCAAAUGAACUACACGAUCUUUUGUGCUAGUCUUAGGAUUGGGUCUUGUCCAUCACAUCAUUCUCCUAAUGAUGUGAUCCCGUUAUCAACGACAUCCAAUGUCCAUAGCCAGGAAACCAUGACUAUCUGUUGAUCACAAUGAGCUAGUCAACUAGAGGCUCACUAGGGACAUAUUGUGGUCUAUGUAUUCACACGUGUAUUACGAUUUCCGGAUAAUACAGUUAUAGCAUGAAUAAAAGACAAUUAUCAUGAACAAGGAAAUAUAAUAAUAAUACUUUUAUUAUUGCCUCUAGGGCAUAUUUCCAACAAACACUUCUUGAAAUUUUGUAAGGGAUCAUCUUAUUUACUACCGUCGUCCUAAGUAAACAAGAUGCAUAAUCAUAAUAAACAUCACAUGCAAUCAAAUAGUGACAUGAUAUGGCCAAUAUCAUUUUGCUCCUUUUGAUCUUCAUCUUCGGGGCUCCAUGAUCAUCAUCGUCACCGGCAUGACACCAUGAUCUCCAUCAUCAUGAUCUCCAUCAUCGUGUCUUCAUGAAGUUGUCACGCCAACGACUACUUCUACUUCUAUGGCUAACGCGUUUAGCAAUAAAGUAAAGUAAGUUACAUGGCGUUCUUCAAUGACACGCAGGUCAUACAAUAAAUUAAGACAACUCCUAUGGCUCCUGCCGGUUGUCAUACUCAUCGACAUGCAAGUCGUGAAUCCUAUUACAAGAACAUGAUCAAUCUCAUACAUCACAUAUAUCAUUCAUCACAUCCUUUUGGCCAUAUCACAUCACAUAGCAUACCCUGCAAAAACAAGUUAGACGUCCUCUAAUUGUUGUUUGCAUGUUUUAUGUGGCUGCUAUGGGUUUCUAGCAAGAACGUUUCUUACCUACGCAAAACCACAACGUGAUAUGCCAAUUGCUAUUUACCCUUCAUAAGGACCCUUUUCAUCGAAUCCGUUCCGACUAAAGUGGGAGAGACUGGCACCCGCUAGCCACCUUAUGCACCAAGUGCAUGUCAAUCGGUGGAACCUGUCUCACGUAAGAGUACGUGUAAGGUCGGUCCAGGCCGCUUCAUCCCACAAUACCGUCGAAACAAGAUUGGACUAGUAACGGUAAGCAUAUUGAACAACAUCAACGCCCACAACUACUUUGUGUUCUACUCGUGCAAAGAAUCUACGCAAUAGACCUAGCUCAUGAUGCCACUGUUGGGGAACGUAGCAGAAAUUCAAAAUUUUCCUACGUGUCACCAAGAUCUAUCUAUGGAGAAACCAGCAACGAGUAGAAGGAGAGUGCAUCUACAUACCCUUGUAGAUCGCUAAGCGGAAGCGUUCAAGUGAACGGGGUUGAUGGAGUCGUACUCGUCGUGAUUCAAAUCACCGAUGAUCAAGUGCCGAACGCACGGCACCUCCGCGUUCAACACACGUACAGCCCGGUGACGUCUCCCACGCCUUGAUCCAGCAAGGAGAGAGGGAGAGGUUGAGGAAGACUCCAUCCAACAGCAGCACAACGGCGUGGUGGUGGUGGAGGAGCGUGGCAAUCCAGCAGGGCUUCGCCAAGCACCAUGGGAGAGGAGGAGUAGGAAGAGAGGUAGGGUUGUGCCAGAACUUCGUCUAUAGCUCCCAUGCGCCUCCCCACUAUAUAUAGGGGUGGAGGGGCUGGUUUCUUGCCCUCCAAGUCCAUUGGGGCGUUGGCCAAGGUGGGAGGAAAGAAAUCUCAUUAUUUCCUUCCCCACCGAUUGUUAUCCCCCCUUUUUAGGGAUCUUGAUCUUAUCCCUUCGGGAUAUGAUCUUAUUCCUUCUAAGGGGGGAUCUUGGUGCGCCUUGACCAGGGGUGUGGGGCCUUGCCCCCACUACCCACGUCCAUGUGGGUCCCCCCAUGCAUGUGGGCCCCACUCCGGAACCUUCUAGAACCUUCCCGGUACAAUACCGAAAAAUCCCGAACAUUUUCCGGUGGCCAAAAUAGGACUUCCCAUAUAUAAAUCUUUACCUCCGGACCAUUCCGGAACUCCUCGUGACGUCCGGGAUCUCAUCCGGGACUCCGAACAACAUUCGGUAACCACAUACAAACUUCCUUUAUAACCCUAGCGUCAUCGAACCUUAAGUGUGUAGACCCUACGGGUUCGGGAGACAUGUAGACAUGACCGAGACGUUCUCCGGUCAAUAACCAACAGCGGGAUCUGGAUACCCAUGAUGGCUCCCACAUGUUCCACGAUGAUCUCAUCGGAUGAACCACGAUGUCAAGGACUUAAUCAAUCCCGUAUUCAAUUCCCUUUGUCUAUCGGUAUGUUACUUGCUCGAGAUUCGAUCGUCGGUAUCCAAUACCUUGUUCAAUCUCGUUACCGGCAAGUCACUUUACUCGUUCCGUAACACAUCAUCCCGUGAUCAACUCCUUGGUCACAUUGCGCAUAUGAUGAUGUCCUACCGAGUGGGCCCAGAGAUACCUCUCCGUUUACACGGAGUGACAAAUCCCAGUCUUGAUCCGCAUAAAACAAUAGAUACUUUCGGAGAUACCUGUAGUGCACCUUUAUAGUCACCCAGUUACGUUGUGACGUUUGAUACACCCAAAGCACUCCUACGGUAUCCAGGAGUUACACGCUCUCAUGGUCAAAGGAAGAGAUACUUGACAUUGGCAAAGCUCUAGCAAACGAACUACACGAUCUUUGUGCUAGGCUUAGGAUUGGGUCUUGUCCAUCACAUCAUUCUCCUAAUGAUGUGAUCCCGUUAUCAACGACAUCCAAUGUCCAUAGCCAGGAAACCAUGACUAUCUGUUGAUCACAACGAGCUAGUCAACUAGAGGCUCACUAGGGACAUAUUGUGGUCUAUGUAUUCACACGUGUAUUACGAUUUCCGGAUAAUACAGUUAUAGCAUGAAUAAAAGACAAUUAUCAUGAACAAGGAAAUAUAAUAAUAACAUUUUUAUUAUUUCCUCUAGGGCAUAUUUCCAACAGUCUCCCACUUGCACUAGAGUCAAUAAUCUAGUUCACAUCGCCAUGUGAUUAACACUCACAGGUCACAUCGCCAUGUGACUAAUACCCAAGAGUUUUAGGUUUGAUCAUGUUGCUUGUGAGAGAGGUUUUAGUCAACGGGUCCGAACCUUUCAGAUCCGUGUGUGCUUUACAAAUCUCUAUGUCAUCUCCUAGAUGUAGCUACCACGCUCUAUUUGGAGCUAUUCCAAAUAACUGUUCUACUUGGAGCUAUUCUAAAUUGUUGCCCCAUAAUACGUAUCCAGUAUCUCUUCUUAGAGCUAUCCGGAUAGGUGUUAAGCUUGCAUCGACGUAACCUUUACGACGAACUCUUUUACCACCUCCAUAAUCGAGAAAAUUCCUUAGUCCACUAGUUACCAAGGAUAACUUUGACCGCUGUCUGUGAUCCAUUCAUGGAUCACUCUUGUACCCCUUGACUAACUCAUGGCAAGGCACAUUUCAGGUGCGGUACUCAGCAUGGCAUACUGUAGAGCCUACAUCUAAAGUAUAGGGGACGACCUUCGUCCUUUCUCUCUUUUCUGCCGUGGUCGAGCUUUAAGUCCUAACUUCGUACCUUACAACUUAGGCAAGAACUCCUUCUUUGACUGGUCCAUCUUGAACACCUUCAAGAUCAUGUCAAGGUAUGUGCUCAUUUGAAAGUAUUAUUAAGCAUUUUGAUCUAUCCUUAUAGAUCUUGAUGCUCAAUGUUCAAGUAGCUUAAUCCAGGCUUUCAUUGAAAAACACUUUCAAAAUAACCCUAUAUGAUUUCCAGAAAUUCUACGUCAUUUCUGAUCAACAAUAUGUCAACAACAUAUACUCAUCAGAAAUUCUAUAGUGCUCCCACUCACUUCUUUGGAAAUACAAGUUUCUCAUAAACUUUGUACAAACCCAAAAUCUUUGAUCAUCAUCAAAGCAUACAUUCCAACUCCGAGAUGCUCACUCCAGUCCUUAGAAGGAUUGCUGGAGCUUUGCAUACUUAUUAGCAUCUUUCGGGAUUGACAAAACCUUCCGGUUGUAUCACAUACAACCUUUCCUCAAGAAAAUCGUCGAGGAAACAAUGUUUUGACAUCCUAUCUACAAGAUUUCAUAAAUAAUGCAGUAAUCGCUAAUAUAAUUCCAACAGACACUUAGCAUCGCUACGAGUGAGAAAAUCUCAUCGUAGUCAACUCCUUGAACUUGUCGGAAAACAUCUUAACGACAAGUCGAGCUUUCUUAAUGGUAAUUCUUACCAUCAUUGUCUGUCUUCCUUUUAAAAUCCAUCCGUAGUCAUUUGCCUUACGACCAUCGAGCCGUUCUGCCAAAGUCUUCACUUUGUUUUCAUACAUGGAUCCUCUCUCGGAUUUUAUGGCCUCAAGCCAUUUAUCAGAAUCCGGGCCCACCAUCGCUUCUCCAUAGCUCGUAGGCUCAUUGUUGUCUAGCAACAUGACUUCCAAGACAGGAUUACAUACCACUCUGAAGUAGUACGUAUCCAUGUCACCCUACAAGGUACGGUAGUGACUUGAUCCGAAACUUCAUGAUCACUAUCAUAAGCUUCUACUUCAAUUGGUGUAGGUGCCACAGGAACAACUUCCCGUGCCCUGCUACACACUUGUUGAAGUGAUGGUUCAGUAACCUCAUCAAGUCUCCACCAUCCUCGCACUCAAUUCUUUCGAGAGAAACUUUUCCUCGAGAAAGUACCUGAUUCUAGAAACAAUCCCUUAUUGCUUUCGGAUCUGAGACAGGAGGUAUACCCAACUGUUUUGGGUGUCCUAUGAAGAUGCAUUUUAUCCGCUUUGGGUUCGAGCUUAUCAAUCCUGAAACUUUUUCACAUAAGCGUUGCAGCCCCAAACCUUUAAGAAACGACAACUUAGGUUUCUCUAAACCAUAAAUCAUACGGUGUCAUCUCAACGGAAUUACGUGGUGCCCUAUUUAAAGUGAAUGUGGUUGUCUCUAAUGCCUAACCCAUGGACAAUAGUGGUAAUUCGAUAAGAGACAUCAUUGUACGCACCAUAUCCAAUAGGGUGCAACUAUGAUGUUCGGACACACCAUCACACUAUGGUGUUCCAGGCGGUAUUAAUUGCGAAACAAUUUCCACAAUGUCUUAAUUGUGUGCCAAAACUCGUAACUUAGAUAUUCACAUCAUAGACAUUUUAUCCUCUUGUCACAAUGAUCUUCUACUUCACUCUGAAAUUACUUGAACCAUUCAAUAAUUCAGACUUGUAUUUCAUCAAGUAAAUAUUCUCAACAUCUACUCGAAUCAUCUGUGAAGUAAGAUCAUAACGAUAUUCACUGCAUGCCUCAGCACUCAUCGGAUUGGAUACAUAAAAAUGUGUUACUUCCAACAAGUUGCUAUCUUGUUCCAUCUUACUGAAAACGAGGCUUUUCAGUCAUCUUGCCCAUGUGGUAUGAUUUGCAUAUCUCAAGUGAUUCAAAAUCAAGUGAGUCCAAACGAUCCAUCUGCAUGGAGUUUCUUCAUGCGUAUACACCAAUAGACAUGGUUCGCAUGUCUCAAACUUUUCUAAAACGAGUGAGUCCAAAGAUCCAUCAACAUGGAGCUUCUUCAUGCGUUUUAUACCAUUAUGACUUACAUGGCAGUGCCACAAGUAAGUGGUACUAUCAUUACUAUCUUAUAUCUUUUGGCAUGAAAAUGUGUAUCAUUACGAUCGAGAUUCAAUAAACCAUUCCUUUAGGUGCAAGACCAUUGAAGGUUUUAUUCAAAUAAAUAGAGUAAUCAUUAUUCUCCUUAAAUGAAUAACCGUAUUGCGAUAGACAUAAUCCAAUCAUGUCUAUGCUCAACGCAAGCACCAAAUGACAAUUAUUCAGGUUUAAUACUAAUCUUGAUGGUAGAGGGAGCGUGCGAUGUUUGAUCACAUCAAACUUGGAAACACUUCCAACACAUAUCGUCAGCUCACCUUUAGCUAGUCUCCGUUUAUUCCGUAGCUCUUUAUUUCGAGUUACUAACACUUAGCAACCGAACCGGUAUCUUAUACCCUGGUGCUACUAGGAGUACUAGUAAAGUACAUAUUAACAUAAUGUAUAUCCAAUAUACUUCUAUCGACCUUGCCAGCCUUCUUAUCUACCAAGUAUCUAGGGUAAUUCUGCUCUAGCGGCUAUUCCCCUUAUCACAGAAGCACUUAGUCUCGGAUUUGGGUUCAACCUCGGGUUUCUUCACUGGUGCAGCAGCUGAUUUGCCGUUUCAUGAAGUAUCCCUUCUUGCCCUUGCCCUUCUUGAAACUAGUGGUUUCACCAACCAUCAACAAUUGAUGCUCCUUCUUGAUUUCUACUUUCGCGGUGUCAAACAUCGUGAAUACCUCAAGGAUCAUCAUGUCUAUCCCUGAUAUGUUAUAGUUCAUCACGAAGCUCUAGCAGCUUGGUGGCAAUGACUUCGGGGAAACAUCACUAUCUCAUCUGGAGGAUCAACUCCCACUCGAUUCAAGUGAUUGUUGUGCUCAGACAAUCUGAGCACAAGCUCAACGAUUGAGCUUUUCUCCCUUAGUUUGCAGGCUAAGAAAAUCGUCGGAGGUCUUAUACCUCUUGACGUGGGCACGAGCCUGAAAUCCCAAUUUCAGCCCUCGAAACAUCUCAUAUGUUCCGCGACGUUUCGAAAACGUCUUUGGUGCCUCUACUUAAACCAUUUAAUUGAACUAUCACGUAGUUAUCAAAACGUGUAUGUCCGAUGUUCGCAACAUCGACAAACGACGUUGGGGUUCAGCACACUGAGCGGUGCAUUAAGGACAUAAGCUUUCUACUGAUCGCAUAAUCGCUACUAUCAACUUUCAACUAUAUUUUCUCUAGGAACAUAUCUAAACAGUGGAACUAAAGCGCGAGCUUACGACAUAAUUUGCAAAAGGUCUUUUGACUAUGUUCAGGAUAAUUAAGUUCAUCUUAUGAACUCCCACUUAGAUAGACAUUCCUCUGGUCAUCUAAGUGAUCACAUGAUCCGAGUCAACUAGGCCGUGUCCGAUCAUCACGUGAGAUGGACUAGCCAACGUCGGUGAACAUCUUCAUGUUGAUCGUAUCUACUAUACGACUCAUGCUCGACCUUUCGGUCUCCGUGUUCCGAGGCCAUGUCUGUACAUGCUAGGCUCGUCAAGUUAACCCUAAGUGUUUUCGCUGUGUAAAACUGUCUUACACCCGUUGUAUGUGAACGUAAGAAUCCAUCACACCCGAUCAUCACGUGGUGCUUAGAAGCGACGAACUGUAGCAACGGUGCACAGUUAGGGGAGAACACUUCUUGAAAUUUUGUAAGGGAUCAUCUUAUUUACUACCGUCGUCCUAAGCAAACAAGAUGCAUAAACAUGAUAAACAUCACAUGCAAUCAAAUAGUGACAUGAUAUGGCCAAUAUCAUUUUGCUCCUUUUGAUCUUCAUCUUCGGGGCUCCAUGAUCAUCAUCGUCACCGGCACGACACCAUGAUCUCCAUCAUCGUGUCUUCAUGAAGUUGUCACGCCAACGACUACUUCUACUUCUAUGGCUAACGCGUUUAGCAAUAAAGUAAAGUAAGUUACAUGGCGUUCUUCAAUGACAAGCAGGUCAUACAAAAAUAAAGACAACUCCUAUGGCUCCUGCCGGUUGUCAUACUCAUCGACAUGCAAGUCGUGAAUCCUAUUACAAGAACAUGAUCAAUCUCAUACAUCACAUAUCAUUCAUCACAUUCUUCUUGGCCAUAUCACAUCACAUAGCAUACCCUGCAAAAACAAGUUAGACGUCCUCUAAUUGUUGUUGCAUGUUUUACGUGGCUGCUAUGGGUUUCUAGCAAGAACGUUUCUUACCUACGCAAGACCACAACGUGAUAUGCCAAUUGCUAUUUACCCUUCAUAAGGACCCUUUUCAUCGAAUCCGUUCCGACUAAAGUGGGAGAGACUGGCACCCGCUAGCCACCUUAUGCACCAAGUGCAUGUCAAUCGGUGGAACCUGUCUCACGUAAGAGUACGUGUAAGGUCGGUCCGGGCCGCUUCAUCCCACAAUAUCGUCGAAACAAGAUUGGACUAGUAACGGUAAGCAUAUUGUACAACAUCAACGCCCACAACUACUUUGUGUUCUACUCGUGCAAAGAAUCUACGCAAUAGACCUAGCUCAUGAUGCCACUGUUGGGGAACGUAGCAGAAAUUCAAAAUUUUCCUACGUGUCACCAAGAUCUAUCUAUGGAGAGACCAGCAACGAGUAGAAAGAGAGUGCAUCUACAUACCCUUGUAGAUCGCUAAGAGGAAGCGUUCAAGUGAACGGGGUUGAAGGAGUCGUUCUCGUCGUGAUUCAAAUCACCGAUGAUCAAGUGCCGAACGCACGGCACCUCCGCGUUCAACACACGUACAGCCCGGUGACGUCUCCCACGCCUUGAUCCAGCAAGGAGAGAGGGAGAGGUUGAGGAAGACUCCAUCCAACAGCAGCACAACGGCGUGGUGGUGGUGGAGGAGCAUGGCAAUCCUGCAGGGCUUCGUCAAGCACCGCGGGAGAGGAGGAAGACUUGGGAGAGGGGAAGGGCUGCGCCAGAACUUCGUGUAUAGCUCCCAUGCGCCUCCCCACUAUAUAUAGGGGUGGAGGGGCUGGUUUCUUGCCCUCCAAGUCCAUUGGGGCAUUGGCCAAGGUGGGAGGAAAGAAAUCUCAUUAUUUCCUUCCCCACCGAUUGUUAUCCCCCCUUUUUAGGGAUCUUGAUCUUAUCCCUUCGGGAUAUGAUCUUAUUCCUUCUAAGGGGGGAUCUUGGUGCGCCUUGACCAGGGGUGUGGGGCCUUGCCCCCACUACCCACGUCCAUGUGGGUCCUCUCAUGCAGGUGGGCCCCACUCCGAAACCUUCUAGAACCUUCCCGGUACAAUACCGAAAAAUCCCGAACAUUUUCCGGUGGCCAAAAUAGGACUUCCCAUAUAUAAAUCUUUACCUCCGGACCAUUUCGGAACUCCUCGUGAUGUCCGGGAUCUCAUCCGGGACUCCUAACAAUAUUCGGUAACCACAUACAAACUUCCUUUAUAACCCUAGCGUCAUCGAACCUUAAGUGUGUAGACCCUACGGGUUCGGGAGACAUGUAGACAUGACCGAGACGUUCUCCGGUCAAUAACCAACAGCGGGAUCUGGAUACCCAUGAUGGCUCCCACAUGUUCCACGAUGAUCUCAUCGGAUGAACCACGAUGUCAAGGACUUAAUCAAUCCCGUAUUCAAUUCCCUUUGUCUAUCGGUAUGUUACUUGCCCGAGAUUCGAUCGUCGGUAUCCAAUACCUUGUUCAAUCUCGUUACCGGCAAGUCACUUUACUCGUUCCGUAACACAUCAUCCCGUGAUCAACUCCUUGGUCACAUUGUGCAUAUGAUGAUGUCCUACCGAGUGGGCCCAGAGAUACCUCUCCGUUUACACGGAGUGACAAAUCCCAGUCUCGAUCCGCAUAAAACAAUAGAUACUUUCGGAGAUACCUGUAGUGCACCUUUAUAGUCACCCAGUUACGUUGUGACGUUUGAUACACCCAAAGCACUCCUACGGUAUCUAGGAGUUACACGCUCUCAUGGUCAAAGGAAGAGAUACUUGACAUUGGCAAAGCUCUAGCAAACGAACUACACGAUCUUUGUGCUAGGCUUAGGAUUGGGUCUUGUCCAUCACAUCAUUCUCUUAAUGAUGUGAUCCCGUUAUCAACGACAUCCAAUGUCCAUAGCCAGGAAACCAUGACUAUCUGUUGAUCACAACGAGCUAGUCAACUAGAGGCUCACUAGGGACAUAUUGUGGUCUUUGUAUUCACACGUGUAUUACGAUUUCCGGAUAAUACAGUUAUAGCAUGAAUAAAAGACAAUUAUCAUGAACAAGGAAAUAUAAUAAUAACAUUUUUAUUAUUUCCUCUAGGGCAUAUUUCCAACAGAUUCAUGCACCCGUAUUAGUUUAACCAAAUGUAAUAAUCUAGCUAGCCUCUCUCUCUCUCUCUCUCUCUCUCUCUCUCUCUCUCUCUCUCUCUCAGAUAACGACAUGAUAUUGGUGCAUAUUGACAAUUUAUCAUGACGUCAUUUUGACUCACGGACAUAAGCGACAUCUACAUUAAUCCAUAAGUGUAUAGUUAAGCUCGAGCUGCUCCAAUGACAUCUACAUCUUGCCUUCCCUAUAAUGUCGUAUCAGAAGAUUAAUAUUAUCAUCAUGGUUACAUAUGUACAUCAGUUAACUACCACACGAGAUGUGGUGGAAGUAGCUAAAUAAGCAAAAUGCUAACUUACCGAACCUGAAUUUAGAUGUCUUGCACAUCCAGCUUUGUGCUAUUCAUCAGAGAGCCAACCUAGCAAUCUGCCAAAUCAUCUUGGCAUGCUCCAGAUACAUUUCUCUACUCACCGCAUCUUAAUUAGCAUGAUGUUAAAGUUACUUAUAUAGUUAAAAUGUACUAUGUAAAUAAGAACACCACUUAAUUGUGUGACACGUCAUUGAAACCACUAUGCAAAAAUAUUGUCUUCAAAUGGUUGUUUGACCCCGAGAGUAAGUAGAUGCCUAUAAUUUCAAUUAAUUGAGACAACCUCAUUAUGUUUUAGGAAAUACAAUGGGAUACUCAUAAACAUAAAUAUACUUGUCUAUUAUGACAUGGUACAUUUUGGCUCACAUGCAUAACACAAACAACAUCCGCAUUAAACCACAAGUGCAUAGUUAAGCUCGAGCUGCUCCAAUUAAUCUUACAUCUUGGCUUGCUCGUUCUAGAAGAUUACUCCCUUCAUUCCAAUAAAUAAGGCGAGCAUGCAUUUCUAAAUCCAAAUUUAACCAUUAAUUUAUUGAAAAUAUAUAAAUUAUGUGACUUACAAAUUAUACCACUGAUUUUUUAAUACAAGUUCAACGAUAUAACUUUUGUCAUGUAUACCUUUUCAAAUGCAUUUGUCUACUCACUGCAUCUUAAUUAAUUAGCACGCCAUUUUUGAAAUAAGUUUUCACCCCGCUUUAUAUAAAUAAACUAACCACCAUGUCUAUAGAAAUUAGCAUUACGUUGAGGCCACUUAAAUAAAGUUAAAAAGUAUGUAAUUGACAACACAACUUAGCUGUGUAACACACUAAUGAAUUAACCACUAUGCAAACAUACUAGUAUUUUAUAUCUUCGAAUGGUAGUUUGACCCUGGCGCGGAGUGAGAGAUUGCAUGCAUCUACCUGUACCAGUAGUUUCAACUUUCAACGAACGAAAUGAUCUGGGUUUGUCUCAAGGAAUGUGAUAGGGUAUUGGUGCGGAUUUAUCAAAAAUAAGUUGGUUGUGUGACCCACCAAUGAAGCUGUAUAUUCAAACAUUAUUACAUGGUGGUAGUUUGACCCCGGAGCGUUAGUACCUAGAUGACAUGAUGUACUGCCAUUUUAACCAACUGUAAUAAUCUACAGCCAUUUUCUGAAAGACAACGACAUGAUAUUGCUGCAUAUCGAUAGUUUAUCAUGACGUCGUUUUGACUCUCAUCCAAGACAUAAACGACAUCUACAUUAAUCCAUAAGUGCAUAGUUAAGCUCGAACUGCUCCAAUGCCAUCUACAUCAUGGCUUCCAUGCUUCAGUAGAUUAAUAUUAUCAUCAUGGCCACAUAUAAACAUCAGUUAACUGCCAGACGAGAUGCGGUAGAAGUAGUAGAUAAAUAAGCAAAAGGCUAACUUACCGAACCUGAAUUUAGAUGUAGUCUUAGCACAUGCGCUUUUGUGCUGAGCCAACCUAGCAAUCUACCAAAUCAUCUUGGCUUGCUGCAGAUACAUUUCUCUACUCGCCGCUUCUUAGUUAGCAUGAUGUUAAAGUUACUUAAAGUUAAAAAGUACUAUUAACAACGCCACUUAAUUGUGUGACACACCAAUGAAACGACCAUGCAAAAAUAUUGUCUUCAAAUGGUUGUUUGACCCGAGAGUAAGUAGGAUGCAUGCAUCUGCUCAUGUACCCCUAGUUUCAACUUUUGUUUUUGCGGGGUAGUUUCAACUUUCAACUAACGGAAACGAUUUCAGUUUGUCUCAAGGAAUACGAUAGGAUAUUGGUGCAUGUAAUGUAAACAUACUGAUUUAUCGUGACGUUGCAGGUUUUGACUCACCUCCAGCACGCAAACGACAUCUGCAUUAAACCAUAAGUGCAUAGUUAAGCUCGAGCAGCUCCAAUUAAUCUUACACCUUGGCUUCUCCGUUCUAGAAGAUUAGAAGUAAAGCAGAGUAGGAGUACGUAAGGGUAUUAAUUAAACCAACGCAAUGAAAUGGCAGUACUACUAUAAACACAGGUCAAGGGGGUAGUGCGAGAGUGUGACGCCCAUCUUUAAUUUCGGUGGUUUUCCAAGGCAAAUAAUAGAAAAUUGUCCAGUUGAUGGCGCACUUGUCGAACUAGUCAAGGUAAAAUCUCUUAUAAAUUAAUCUUUGUCGUAGAAAAAGAUGGUAAAGUCCAACUGUGCACGCUGGUAAGCACCCACUGUGUAAGUGUUUACUAAUCCGGCACUUGCAUCAGCAUGCCAUAUGCUAACAUGGAUUAGGUUGAUCCUCACGUCGGCAUGCAACUCUCUCAUGUUGGAGGGAUACAAUAGUGAUACACCCUAUUAUAUUUGUUUUUUUUGCGGGACAUAUUAUAUUUGUUGGAAAGUGAAAGUCUACAUAGGCAUGCUCCCUACCGAUCGACUCAUUAACAAUUUUUUGUAGGUUUUUUUUUCAAAUAAUUAGGUUGUAGUCAAAUGCAUACGAAUGCAGCUGCUUAAUUAAAUCCUAGGUCCAGCUUAAAAAAUGCUCAUUUUCUAGUACUACUACUAUGUUAAGCAAAGAAGAAAGUUCCUUCGAUUAUUAGUACUUGCAUUACUUUUGUUGAUAAAACGCUCACACUUUUGGUCGUGUGUGGAUCCAAUGUUUGCGAACAAACCAUGGAAAAUAGGGGUUUAAUCAAGUCUGUCGUAGUGGGAGACCAGUACUACUCCAAAUUAGCGUGUGUUCCUAGUCAACCACUGAAAUUAAGGAGGGGGACAAAUCCAACCAAAUUGAUUAAUGGCACGGCCCUAUCACACGCACUCAUCAUCGCAAUGCUACGAUGCGACGAUCCCUUCGCUGUUGGUGACUAGGAAAGCCGCUGAUUUGAUGGUACGUGUUGGACUCGUGCACUCCCACUGGGGUAGAGUGCCGGCCGGCGUCGCACGCGUCCUGGUUGAUUUCCAGAGGAAAUAAGCAGAGGAGAGGAGGAUACCGAGUCCAUGGUCAAGGAGCUGAAUAAGCAGACGCCGAGCUGAGGAAGUCAGAACGGAGCACCUCAGCAGCACUCCACACAGAUACGGAGUCAACCUGAGGAAGCUUUCAAACGGCCGGCGUGGCGGAGCGGCCCCCUCUUUGGACAUGGCAUCAUCGGAUUUGACCCGGCGGCCGGAGGAUCCCCACCGCGUCGCGCGACGCGUGCGUGCGUUCCUUUUCUUUUUUUUUUGAAUGCCCCCUGCCCCACUUUAUAGAAUGAAGCAGAAAGCAACCAGUCACAAGUGUUUUGAUGGAAACCGACUACUACAAAGCAGACGCAACGAUAGAAACCUACAGCCAAAUAGAACAGAAAUUUUGGCUUGAUCGCAUAAGUUUUUAGUCUACUUAUUACAAAGCAUCAGUAGAAGAAAGAACACUGGAGGAUGAAAGGCAGAUCUUCAGGGGAAUUGGUUGAUCCAUCGUCUCCCGCGCCCAGUUCUUCAGUUGGUCUCUUCUUGCAUCAUCUCCAUGUGAUCCGGUGGAGUUCCUCACGCCGUUUGUCCAAAAGGAGAAUGCAUUGUUGUAAUAGAGUUGCCUGCACAUCGUCACAGAGAACCUUCAAUUGUUGUAAAUAGCAGCUUAGUUUUGCAAGAAUGCAUUUCACACUUCUUCAUUUGUGCCCCUGAAAGCAAAACUCGUUUCUUAGUCUCCACAGGCUCCAUAAGGUAACCGUUGUCACCAAAUUCAAAACAGCAUUCUUCUUAUGCAUAUGCCAGAAGGAUAUGAUAUUUUCAAAACCGGUUAUUUUGUCAAUACCCAAGAAUUCUGCAACAAAAUCCCAAACCUGUUGGGCUACCACGCAAGCAAACAACAAGUGUUGAACAGUUUCAUAGUCAGAGCAGAAAAGGCAGGAAGGAUCCUCAACUACUCUUCUUUUAGCAAGAUUAUGUCUAGUAAGCACCUUAUUGUGAGCACAUAACCACAGAAAGAUAUAAACGUUCUGUGGACAUAAGAUUUUCCACAUUUUGUCACUAAUAGUAGGAACUAUCCCACCAAAGUUAAUUUGCUUAUAGAAGGAUUUUACCGAAUCUACCCCACUGGGUUCUAAGCCCCAAAUUGGGGUGUCCACCCCAUCCAGAGGAGGAUGUUGCUUGACCAUAUAAACAAGUUGAUCCCAGCGGUCCAUACCAAAGCAAUCAACACAUCUUCUAAAUGUCAGUUUUAAUUCAUUCCCAUCCCAGACCUGGGCCACUGUACUAUCAGCUUGAUUACAAAUACUAAACAGGUCCCAAAAUUGUACUUUAAGGGAACAAUCCCCCCUCCCCACACACACACAUAUCAUGCCAAAAGCUAAUGAGAUUACCAUCUCCCAACCUCCAUCUAUAGAAGAUUUUUGCUGCUGCCAUGGCCCAAGUAAUAAUCUUCCAAAAGGUAGAGCCCCCUUCACUUUUAGCCCAGAGGAGAUUGGGGGAAUUUACUCUGUAUUUAUAUAAGAGGAGUUUAGUCCAGUCUGAAUCAGGAUGAUCGAAGAAUCUUUUACCCCAAGAAGCUAGCAAGGCCAUAUUAUAUUCUUUAAUAUCGGGAACCCCCAAAUUCCUUCUUCCUAUUAAUUAAGCCCCAAUUGGCUAGGUGGUAUUUGUGUUGAUCUCCCAAGUUCCCCCAAAAGAAAUGAGCCAUUUGAGAGUUAAUGGCAUUGAUUGCCCACUUAGGAAAUUUGAUCACAGACAUCAAGUAAGCAGGAAUGCUAAUCACACAAGCACACAACAAUUUAAUUUUCCCUUUAUAAGUGAGAUAUCUGCCCAGCCAGCCAGAAAUGCCUUUAAUGAUUCUGUCAAUGAUAGGCUGGAGAUCUUCUCUUUUAAGUUUAUCAUAGUGCAUAGGCACUCCCAGAUACUUUAUAGGGAAUGAGCCUUUUUUACAACAGAAGAUUUGUGCAAACUCCUUAGCAGUUGCCUCCUCAACAUUGAUAGUCAUGAGAUCACUUUUGUGGAAGUUAAUUUUCAUCCCAGAUAAGUUCUCAAAACAUGACAAAAUCCAUUUAAAGUUCCUUGCUUUAUGACCAGAGUUUUCCAAGAAGAGUAUAGUGUGGUCUUCAUAUUGUAGACUAAGCACACCUCCAGGGAUCACAUGGGGCAGAAGCCCAGAGAUUAAGUUUUGGGAAGUGGCUUUUUUGAACAUUUUGGUAAAAACAUCAGCAACCAAGUUAAACAAUAGAGGGGAGUGUGGAUCCCCUUGUUUGAGACCUUUCCCCCCUACAAAGUAGGGUCCAGUAGUAUCAUUAAUCCUCACACUAAAGGUGUUGUUGAUGAGAGUACUUUUAAUCCAAGCAAUCCACUUUGGACCAAAACCUCUCGAAUGUAGCAUAUCAAACAAGAAUUCCCAACUAACUCUAUCAUAGGCUUUCUCAUAGUCUAGCUUAAGAACUAAACCUUGCGAACCUGACUUUUUAAUCUCGUGGAUCAUUUCAUGAGCCAUAACUACACUUUCCAAGAUGUAUCUCCCCUUAAUGAACGCAGUUUGGUUAGAAGAAAUCAAUCUACGGCCGACGGGGUCAAACCUGUUGGUCAUGGCUUUGGAAAAAAAAUUAAUCCCACAGUUACUCAGACUAAUAGGUCUGAACUUAUUCAUCUCCCUUGCAUCAGGUUCUUUGGGAAUGAGAACAAUCAGGGCAAAGUUCAAAUGUUGAAUAUCCAGUUUACCCUCCUCAAAGUCUCUGACCAAUGCCAUAAAGUUUGUUUUAAUCACGUUUCAAAAGGUUUGGUAAAACAUGAAGGAUAGGUCGUCCGGGCCCGGGGCACCAUGGGCAUAAGACCCAAAAAUCGCCUCUUUGAUCUCUUCCUCGGAGAAGUUUUUUUGCAACUGAUCAUUCUCUUCUUGAGUAACCAUCUCACUCUCCUCCCAAAAGGAAGGUCCAAGACAGAUAUUAUGUUUACUUUCAAAACCAAAAAAGUUUUUGUAAUAGUUAGUAGCCACACCUAACAUUUCCUGAGUAGUAUAAACAGGACAAUUUUCUCCAAUUAAUUCAGAUAAAUGGUUUUUCCUAUGUCUAUGGUUGGCUAGAGCAUGAAAAUAGGCAUUAUUCUUGUCCCCAUCGGUAAUUAUACGGUCUCUGGAGCGCUGCCAUAAUUCUGAGACCAACGCCACCUUCGUCCUUCGAGCUCCUCCGGUGUCCACGCCGCGCCGAUCGCCUCCCGGCAGUGUCACGAUGGCUGAGCAGGCCGGUUGGUAAAUAUCUCGUGUAGUUUUUCUUUCAAAUCAGGCCAACUCCAACGCACAACUUGUGUCCGACUUUUUUUGAAAAUUGCGUCCGACUUCGACGGGAAAAAUUUGAUGGGGCCAACCGCAGAUUACAUCUUAUUAUUUUAUCCAUUUUGUGUCUGUUUGAUCCUAAUUUUUGAAGCAAACUUGCUCGUGAUUUGGGUCCGAAGCAGACACAAGCCAUUUUCUGCAUCCGGUUGUGUCCGCUGCUUUCCCCGACUACCCCACCUGCCAUACACCCACCUCUCUCUUCCCACCCACCCCAACUCCACCUGAGCCAGAGUGCCGCCGCCCCCCACAGCAGGAGCGUCGUCCGGCUCCCUCGCCACCGCCGCUGCAGGAGCACAGUCCAGCUCCCCCGCCACCGCCGCAGUAGCAGUCGCUGCUUUUCGCGUUGUGGGCACGUGAGAUGCCGCUCAUCCUCUGGCACACGCACCAGAAUGACACGGCAGCCGCGCGGAAACUGCUCGAGGAAGAUGACACGCUUGUCAACACACACACCCUGAAGCUCCGUCGUCGCCGGGCUGGUCGUCUGUGCCUGCCAGUACCGGCCUCCUCCUGCGCAACGGGCUAGGCAGGUUCAAAUGAGAAAGGGUUAAGGGUGGGAUGAGGAAGGUACGGGGAGGAUCAUGAGAUGGUGGCCGCGGGGGUCUUGAGUGCGAGCUGGAUGCGGAUGCAUGGCGGCCAUCGAUGCAAGCUGGAUGCGAGAGCCAUUGGCUAGAUUUAUUUAUUUUUGACAAAAAAGUGGCUUGUCCGUCCCAAAUGUGUCAACGCGUUGGGUGCAAGGAGCAUGUCGAGUGUGUGCUGUCCAUUUUUCUGACUCAGACGGACAAAAUCUAGACAAAUCGGAUGUCUGUUUGAAGUCAUCUGUUGGAGUUGGCCUCAUGUCUCCUGUAGAUGGGGACCUCCUAUACCUAGACUUGUGCCCUGGAAAAGAUGUCAGUGUGCCCAUUGCCCCCCACGCGUGACCUUGGGCGGGGCUAGGUGCGGAGCGAGCCUCCCUUGUUUUUUUUCUUUUCUGUUUGUUUCUUGUUUUCUUUUUAGUUUUUUUUUGCUUCUUUAAAAUAGUUCGGGAUUUCAUAAAAAGGUUAGAAUUUCAAAAAAUGUCCACUAGCGCAAAAAUAUGUUCAUGAAUUUAAAAAUGUUCACAAAUUCAGAAAAAUAUUCACAAUUACUAAAUAAUGAACAUUAUUUGAAGUUUUAUGAAGAUUUUUCUAUUUUGUUGAGAAUAAUUUGAAUUUUUGAUGAAAUUAUUGAAUUUUGGUGAACUUUUUUGUAUUUUAUGAACAAAAGAAAUAAAAUUCAAUGAACUUUUUUUGAAUUGGAUGAACAAAUUUUGAAUCCGAGAAUUUUUUAAUUCUAUAAAGUUUUUUGAAUAUGAUGAUUUCCUUUUUUGAAUAUGAUGAAUUGUUUUUGAAUUUGAGAACAUUUUUUGAAUUCCAUGAACAUUUUUUAAAUGUUCAUGAUUUUUUUGCAUUCGAUGAAGAAAUUUUGAGUUUGGUGAAUUUUUAAAAUUUUAGAAAAUGUUCACAGACUUAAAAAAUGAUCUCAAAUUUGAUAAAAUGUUCACUGAAUUUGGAAACAAAAAUAUAAAACAUACAAUGAAAAAAGAAAAGAAAAAAUAAAAUUAAAAGAGAAAGGGAAAAGAGGGAGGGACUAGUGUAAAGGCAGCACCUAGUGUGCAAAAAUUUAAAAAAUCAAUGACAUCCGUCGGAUAUUAAAUGGAUGUCCCAGAUUCAAUGCACAGGAGUUGGUGGAGCUUCUGUGCAUUUUAUGAAAACCCCCUGGACUAACAGUCAUGUAUACAAAGAUCCCUCCUUCAUGUUUCUCAAGCUGGAUCGGAGACAUCCAUUCAAAAUCCGGUGGAUGUUGUUGAUUUUUAUGUUUUUGCACACUAAGAGUUUUUUGUACACUAAUUUCUCCCAAGGAAAAAAAAGAAAAAAGAAAGGGAGGAAAAACCCAAAAAAACUGUUUGGGAAGAUUCUAGAACCUUCCCAAAACCGGAAAUGAGCACUUGGGCCGGCCCAGAUGUACCUAGCGGGAAGCCGAGGGGGUACGCCCGCGGUCGUUAUCGAGCGACCUACGCGGCAAAUAAGAUCGCCCCGUGUUGACAGGGACGGAGCGAGGGGCUCCCCCCAUGGUAAAAAAGCACCCCUGUAUUGUUAGCUUAAGGGCUUGUUUGGGACUGCUCCGCUUCAUCAAAAUCAGUUUCACUCCACUAAAUUUACUUUGGAGCAGUUUCAAGCAGAAGUUGUAGCACUACCAAAGAGAAUGUUUGGCUUCCAUCUAGCUCCAGCUUUAAGAAUGAGAAAUUUGGUAAAAAUGAUCUAUUUGAUUGGUUGAGGGCGAAGAAACGAAGGGAUAUCCACUUAUUGGUGGCAGUGGCGGGUAAUUUCCAUCCAACUUCAGUUUCUAGAGUUUUUUGAAGCACCCCCUGAGAAGCUUCAUAAAAAACUAGGAGUUGUAUCCUAGAUUCUAGUUUUUUGCGGAGUGGUAUAUCGUGGAGGUACCCCUGUUUGGCUUGUGUUUUGCGGAGCAGAGUUGAAUUUUAAGGAGCAAAGCAGUCCAAAACAGGCCCUAAAUGCUCAAGAUUUAUAUAUAUGUUUAGACCCCUCAAACCUUUUUACCUCUUCUAUUGGCCUCCCUGUGCCAAGAUUCCUGGCUGCGUACCUGCGUGUAGAUGGUAGAGCCUUGAGGAGAUGCCGGAUCACUUGCAGGAGGCCUCUGUGGCCGGUGGCUGGCCCGCCAUCGGAUCGGUCCGUGUAUGUCGACGGAGGCUUGUAGUUCAUGCUCCUGUUUCUCUAAACGAAAAAGAAAAAUGUGGUUCAUGCUUCUGUGCUGAAUGAAACAAGACGGUCGACUGGAUGACAGCGAUCUCUCGGUUGAUCAGAUUCAGAUGACACCUGUAGGAUCCAGGAGUGAUGGCGCAGCAGUUUGGGCCUAGCUCCCAGCCGUUUCCCACGACGGCGACCACCAGCGUACGUAAUGCUCUCAGCUCCCUCCUGAAGUCCUGAUUAAACAUGUGGUUCACAAGUGAUGUGCACGUGUGGGUAUAUGCGUUUGAAUUUUGAAAGAUCAUGUACUCCCUUCAUUCAUUUUUGUAAGUCAUUUCAGACAGCUCAAAAUGGGUUGUUUGUCUUAAAAGUGAACAGAGGGAGUAUUAUAUAUCAACAUAGUAUAUUUGUAAGCUAGAGGAAGUGCCAUGCAAGAAAUGAUCAUUGAUCAACAAGCGGAUCCGUCGGGUGGCCAUGGCGAGAGGCUAGCUGCAUGCGCAAGCCGGAGAUCGAUGGUGCUCAAUUUUUUUGUGAGGAACCAGCACGAGCAUUGUCUUUUUUUUAGAAGAAGAGCGAAAAACGUGAUGUACAAAGUGGCGCAUGUUUUUAGGGAACGUGGCAAACCCGUCAAAACGGCAACACAUCCGAUGCUAGCUUAGACAAUACCCACUGUUGGCAUGGCUCCUGCAAAAGCCAACUCGCGUUGUUUAAUUGCCUCGAAGGCCAAAAUCGCAACCUCACGGUGCAUUAGACAGAGUUCGGUGAAGAUGCUCUAUUUCGUUCUUUUCAUAUCGAUCAUAAAGUAUAGAUGAUCCUCCCACUGCACCGCCGUCGCACCUACUUUGACUGGUUGGCAAGCAUCAUGUCCCAUCAUUCCGACACAUUUCCUGGCUCGGGGAGGUAACCCGAUAUCGGUAAACCCUCGUUCGUCUAUGUGUUCACCUGGUUCUAAACCGCGACCGAGAAAGGGCAAUCCUCACAGAGUUGAUUUGCCGUUUCCGGCUCCUGAAGGCAUAGCAGACACCUGGGGUCAUGUGGCCAACCACGCAUAGCUUGCAUGUUUGUAGUGAUGAUUCUUCCAUGGAGAGCGAGCGUGGCGAAGAAUUUGCACUCGGGCUUACCGGCUUAGCGAUUAGCGUGGGCCGACCAAACCUUGGCGGGGUCGAACCUCGGGUGGGAGCCGAAAAAUUGCUCCCAUAGGCCGAAGCAGAGGAGAAAGCUCCAUUGGUGGUUAAGUUCCAAGAAAUGCGGUCUUCUUGGGUUGGCAACGGGGUUAUCUGACUGACCCACUCCUAGAGAGUUACGAAUUCUCCCAGUUGCUGCAAGGCCUGUAGGCGGGCCACCGCCUUGAUCCUGUUCUUGUUCAUCAACUCGUUGUGCGCAGAUCUGUUCUUUCUAGAAGCGAUCUUGUAAAACUCAGGGGCAAUGAACUUGAGAGGGCCUCUUCCGCUCCAGUUGUCAUGCCAGAAAAGGGCUUUUGCCCAUUGCCCAACAAAAUAGUGGUGCAGCCAUGAAAAAGGUUCAGGUCAGCUUGGUCGCACGACAGUUCAGUACCCACCCAUGGCCUCUCAGAGCCCCACACAUUUUAGCACCAGUAGUCUAUCAUGUGUAAACAUGAACCAAUGAAUAUCCUUUAUUUGUCUUUCAUAUGUAUGAGCAUGGACGAAGGCUAGAAAGAAUCAACACUGAUGGCAGCCACUAUGCACUACUGAACUAUGGCAAGGAAAUAUAAAUAACUUUCGAAAGACAACAGGAAGAAGGGAAAUAUGCAAUCGGCAAACAGUAUAACACUCCCUCUGUCUUAAAAUAAGUGCCCAUGUAGAGCAUCCACAGUCGGGCGUACCAAAUCUAGUAACCUAUACAUCCGCAGAUGUGUCUAAGUGCGUCCGCGGACAAUGACCGGCCAUCCUCAAAUCGCCGCGCCCACAACCGGCGAAUGGCGACACGUGUGUGGUUUCCGGCGACGGUGGACGACAGGGUGUGAGAAGGGACCGGGCUAUCCAUUUCGGCCAGAAAGGCCGCCACAUUUACUCGGUCACGGCGGGAGUGAGGAUAUUUGGGGAGAUUGGGAGGGAUUUUAGGCAGAGGAGGAUAAAUUUUACUCUAGGGAGUAAAACCGAAAUUAUCUUUCCUUAUGGCCGGAUAGAUGAUCGGUUAGAAAUGCCCUUAGCACAAUAUCUCUAAGGAUAUCUUUUUCUUUAACUUGUGGCACACUUUAUUCAACUCAAAUACGGGAUACAUCAGAAACAAGUCCAAUUAGAAUAAACUGUGGAGGAUCAUUAUCCCACGAGAUCAACAUCUAACUAUCUUGUGUGCCAUUUGGUUUGCCUCUCUUAGACAAUGAGCAUAAAAUACUGAUCCAAUUCUUUGAGCCAAUAUAAAGCACACUCAAAAUCGCCGAAUAAGGAUUCGGAAUGCCUAAUUCCCUGUUGCAUGCUAAGAUAAUUUCGAGACAGUCCGAUUCAGAAGUGAUAUUAGAACAUCCAAGUUGAUCUGCAAGCAUCGUACCAUUUUUCAAGGACAUCGCCUCGGGGGAAGGGGCAUCAAGAACCUGACUAACCAGGGACAAUGAGCCAGCCAAAGCCUGUCUCUAAGGAUAUUUGGUAACUCAAGAUUAGACUAAACAAAUUCAUUGCCAUUUCCAGAUUAUGGAGAAAAUUCCUUAUUUGACACUGUCUUAAAAUCUGGUUCCUUAUUUGACACUGGAAAAGUUUUUCUUCCCUAUUUGACACCAGUCCUAAAUUUUAUUCCCUAUACGACACUUCCGUCCAUUCUGAGCCUAAAUGACAUCUGAAAAGACGAUUUUAUCCCUCAUGCGGUAUGUGUGUACGCGCGUGUGUGCUGUUGCAUGUGUGGGUGCACGCGCACAUGUAUGCUGCAGCUGCAUGUGUGCUGUUGCGUGUGUGUUUGCUACAGCGUGUGUACGUGCGCGCGUGUGUGUGCGCGCGCGCUGUUGCGUGCCUAUGUGCUGCCUGCGUGUGUGCUGCUGCUGCUGCGUGUGUGUGUGUAUGUGUGUGUGCGCUGCGUGCGUGUGCACGCGCGCGUGCGUGUUGUUGUGUGUGCGCGUGUGUGUUGGGCAUGUGUAUGUGUUGCUGCGUGUGUGCUCCUGCCCUCGCACUGAUGUUGCGUGUGUGCGCUAUUGCCCCCCACAUACAUACCACAUGAGGGGCAAAAAAGUCUUUUCAGGUGUCAUUUAGGCUCAAAAUAGACGGAAAUGUCAUAUAGGGAAUAAAAUUUAGAACUUGUGUCAAAUAGGGAAGAAAAACUUUUUCAGUAUCAAAUAAAGAAGCAGAUUUUAAGAUAGUGUCAAAUAAGGAAUUUUCUUCAGAUUAUGUGUCGGCUUAAGCUAAGACUGUUUCGUCAACACUGCACGCCUUAUGGGAUUGUAUGCAGAACCUAAGGGAGUAAUAAUUAUGUGAUGUGGUACAGUGGAUAAGCCGUUGGAGAGGUCGCAGCUGUCAAAUGUGAUGCUAUACCUUGUCGUUCAAAUCUUACCUCUAUCUCUGUACAACGAGUUAAAUAUGGUCAGUGUAGUGAGAUUUGUGAAACUAAUCAUGCUUUUACGCCUAUCGUCGUAGAAGCAGUGACUUUGAAAGAUUAUGCGUAUUGGGUAUCUAAUUAACUAAUCCUCCAAAUCAACUAAACCGGGGGAAGCUGAAGCCAAAAUGCAAUUCUCAUGUGAGGGGGGAAGCUCCAUCGCAUUUCAUAAUUAUGGUGCGUCGUCUCUUUAUGCGAAAUCGCUUGCCUACUUACUUUGAUGGACAUCAAUCGCAUCCGAAGAUGAAGCCAGAACCAUACCGACGGCGGCCGGCCCGAGUUCUACUACGAGGAUGGAAUGCACCCUGAACAAGUUGGGUCAUAUCCUUAAAUCAAUUAAAUAAAUAGUGAUAAAUUUGGGUAUGGAAGUAUGUCAGGUGAAAUGGAUUGGCUUCAUCUUGAUUCUGCAUUUUAUUUGUUUGUCAUCAGUCUAAGAAGUCUUAAGGACUGCUUAUCAAAUAAUGUUCAGUUCAUAGAUUUGUAUAAUAUCUAAAUAUUGAUAGGAGUGUUCAGUCGAUAUAUAUUUAUAACUGUUAAACCCAUGAUGCAGGUAAAAAUAACUUAAUAAAGAAAGUUUACAGUUAAAGCUUUCUGAAUAUUAAGGUCCCAUCAUAGCCAAGAUUUGAAGUUCCCAAAAGAACUGUGCCUCCUCCAGCUCUGGUUCGUCUCCUCUCCGAUGAAGAGGACCAAACCGUGCCCAGCAUGAGAUGCAGGAAAACAUCUGCCUGGUCUUGAAGGUCUCCAAGAAGAUGACAACAAUCACUCGUAAUAAACCAAUUUAACUACAAAUACAAGAAUCAAAGACCGUGAAACUCAUGAAAAGAGGUAACUAUUAGAUUGCAUAAUCUAAGAAUUGACAUCGUCGACAUAAUUUCUUCCCAGCCCAAAUCGGAUUGAAAUCAUGGUGAAGUGGUGAACCAGCAGAGGAGAGGAGAGGAUGUCACCAACAAGCGACGCAUCGUAAAGGCAAAGCUCACACGGAGCAGCUGUUGAGGUGACAUUGCCCCCUACGCGUGUGCGGAGUCAAGCUGCCGCUACCGGGUAUGGAGCGAUAUCAUCUCAACGGCCGCUACAAUGAGCAAAAGCAGGGACGGAGUUGUGCUGCUGCGGCAGCGCAGGAGGAUGAUCUGGGAGGUGGAUCUGGACAACCAUUUAUGAAGGGGGGAGGAACUGGUAGGGUAGAGGAAGGUAUAUAUAGCAAUUUCGGGGCUUCGAUUUGGGCAAUUAGGGUUUUAUUUUGGGCCACUGGAACACCAGUGAUGGGCCACGAUUUGGCCUGGCAGCAGAAGGAUAGGAUCCGGAAAUCCGUUGGUGCUCCCGGGAGCGCGCGCUCCUGCACGUGAAAAAGUAUUUUAAAGUGUGAAAAAAUUUGAAAAAAAAAUUGGCACAUACAUCUCAACAUUAUAUGUGUGCACGUCAAGUUUCGAAGAAAACCGACAUUUUUUGUGGAUUGUGUAAAAAAGACAAAAGUAUGUCUUGUGAAAAGCGUUUUUAACACCGGAUUUUGUCAUUUUCACACGCAACACGUAAGUUGUCAGUUUUUCGCGAAACGACUUUGUGGACAUGUACAACAUCGAUAUGUGCGCGUCAAAUUUUUGUUUGAAUUUUUUUGACAUUUUAAAUAUGUUUAAAACAAAUUUUCAAAAUCAUGAGCACGCGCUCUCAUGUGUCAAAACGCCGCUCUCGGUAGGAUCCUAUAAUUUCCCAACAAAAGGAAAAAUCAUCGCUUCACCAAAAAAAAAGGAAAAUCAUCGCUAACGUCUUGGUUCUUUCUGCCCACCAACACACGGUUCAACAAAGUGUGAUUCUUUAGUACUAAUGUAUAUUUCUAUGCCGCCAUUGUGGACCCUAUGGGCGUAUCCCCUGGCUUAAUGUGCAUCGGUCAUCUCUUCUUGUCCACCGACCCCUCUUCAUCUCUCUUCCCACCUCUAUCAUUCUCCACUCCAUACUCUUUGUUUCAAUUGUUGCACAAUCAUUUUCGCCACCUCGACGUGAUGGUCGUUGGAUGCUUCGACACCAACUGGGUCGGGCUCACUAAGAUGUGGUUUAUCAUAUUUUCCCAUUUCGUCUGGUGUUUCGGUUCUUCCCUCCAAGACGCGUCACAUUUAUCUUUGUCUAGCCCCUUACUUUUGGAGAUAUGAUGACUUGUAGGCUUGUAGCCAAGUGCCUCUUCGAGUUGCACAUAAGUAAAACCAUGCUGAGAUGAAUUGAGUAAAAAGGGAAAUAGUUGGUUGAGCCGUUCAGCAGAACCAUGUCGUUUAUUUGUGUGGGGAUACCGGCCACCCUUGAACUAGCACAUAACAAAAUCAUUAAAAAAUACAUAAAAAACAAAAUUAAACAUUUUUCUAUAUCUCACAUGAUCGUUUCUUUUAGAUGCAUAUUAAAAUCAAGGAAUAAAUGAUCCAUUUUGUGCUUUCGGGGAAAAAUCAUAAGGCGUGCUCCGAACAAGCGAAUUUUGGACAUAUGCAUGCGGCACGAAUCUCGAGGGGUUGAAUUUGUAUUCUACUAUACACGGACCAUUUAAUCCAUGGUUCAACAAGUCCAUUCCCGUGAGUAAAACCACGCCUCGUCUGGUUUACUUGACCCGAAUCCUAGAUUAUUUAUCAUUCGAAAUAAGGCUCACGUUGAGAGCUCAAGUUUUGCUGGUUUCGGGUGGCCCGUGGCCAAAACUUGGCAUUUUUUUUUAUCAAUUUGAAUAUUGUAUAUAUGAGUUUUUAGUCUCUAGCCUUCCCUAGAACCGUUGAGAAAUCUGAUAGAAAUAUGGUAGUUGGAAGACUUAUGUUCUGCUGACAUGCUCCUCGAUAAAUUAUUUCCUAGUACAUUUUCCCGCAAAACAUUUUGAGCUAGAUAGUUUUUUAAAUUUACCAUUCCAAAUACUUGAGUGUUGCUCGUCCAACCUUUCAUGUGCAAAUGGUAAUUUCUUCAUAGAUAAUUAGUAAAAAAAAUAGUAAGACUCAGGUACCUACAAGCCUCCACAACGAUUUUAAGCUUUCAGCCCAUGGAAAACCGUUAUGACCAUGGGCAAUUGGUCGUUCACGCUAAAUUUAAUUCCCGGGACUUGGAUAAUCAUUUUCCUAUUCACGGUAGUUUUGUUGUUCAUGCGGUAACUCGAGCUGGAGGUCUUUGGGUCAUGUGGUCGGAUGACAUCAAUAUGGAUAUAGCCUACUCUAGUCAGGACUUAGUGUGCGCUGCAGUGUAAAUGCUAGUACUAGUUUUAGUUUCUCCAUGGCUUGUGUUUAUGGAAAUCCUCAUCAUCUCGAAUCUAAGGAUAUUUGGAGUCGCAUCGAUGCUUUUAUCUUAUCUUCCCGGGGAAGCCUAUUUACUACAUGGGAGACUUCAAUGAUAUCCUUAGUCCAGUAGAUACGACUAGUAAUGCUAAACCAAAUCUUCAUCGUAUAAUCGACUUUAAUCAUCAUGUUAAACGAUAUGGUUUGAUAGAUAUGGGCUUUCAUGGUCCUGCUUAUACUUGGUGUAAUAAGUGUUUUUCCUCUAUUCCUACUUAUGAACAUCUUGAUCGUGGUUCUGCUCAUGUGAAAUGGUGCAAACAAUUUCGUAAUACUACUGUUUAUAAUUUGCCCAUCAUGUACAGUGAUCAUGCUCCAAUUCUUACUAUCUCGCAACCUCUCGUUGUUAAGACCAAAAGAACUUGAAAAUUGGUGGUAGGUUGAAAGUGCUUUUCAGGUUACAACUCAAGCUGGUUGUUCCAGCGUCAAACCUUUCCAUAGAUGCACCUCUAACCUUGCAACUUCUCUCAAAUGGUGGAGCAGAUCCAAGCGCCUCCUUCAAUAGCAGCUAGAUUCUAUCCACGUUGAACUUAUGGUUGGGCAAUCUACCCCUUUUCAUUUGCAGGAUCACAAGGAAGCCUCUCUUAUUGAUCAGCAUGAUAAAACCAUGUUCAAACUAACUGAGUUUUACACGCAGCGAGCUAAGAGUCAUUGGGUUAUUCAUGGAUACAAAAACACAACUUACUUUCAUAAUGUCAUGCUUAAAAGGCGUCGGGAAAUUAACAUUAGUGGCAUUUUAGACUCUAAUAAUAAUUGGCUCCAUAACCUAGAUGACAUAACUUUUUGCUUCAUAAAUUAUUUCUCAGAUUUAUUUGCCACUAAUGAUGCUAAUUUUGCCAAUAUGCAUAGUUUGGACAUGCAAAAUAGGGAAGCCCUUCCUUUCCGUUCUAUUCUAGAUAAACAAGAAAUCAUGCAUGUUCUUAAAGUUAUGAAGAGACAUGCAUCUCCUAGCCCAAAUGGUCUCAACGUAGACUUCUUACUCUUUGCUUGGAGUUUGAUUAGGGAUGAUGUCACAAAAUUGGUACAAGAUUUCUACAACCAAGGUAAGCUUCAUCCAAACCUUAACAAGAUCUACAUUGCUUUUAUUCCAAGUAAAGCUAUUGCUUGCUCUCCUCGGGAUUUAGGCCUAAGCUUCUUUUGUUGUUAACAUUAAUGGCCAACCUUUCGGCUACUUUCGAGGUACUAGAGGUAUCCAGCAAGGGUGUCCCCACCCACCACGCCAACGCCUCUGGAUCCGAUGUCGCAAAGGUGUGCCCCACCCACCACACCAUUGUCGCUGGAUCCGACGCUGCCUUGGACGGAUCCUGUCGCCACCAUGCUCCAUGAGAUAUGAGAGAGAGCAACGUGGGAGGACGAGGAGUGGCGACGACGAGUGACUAAGGAGGGGGCGAGACGAAUUGCUCUAACCCAACCAUUUCCAACUGAGUAGUCAACGGCCGUUAACGACGCACCGUCCACCAUAUCGACUCACGAGGGAUUUGCCACAUCAAACCCUGCUAAAAAAGAUCGGUGUAUGUUUGCACUGUCAUUUUUUCGGUGUGGUGCAUUGAGCAACAUUUUGUAAAGUGGUAGUUUUUCACUAAUGGUGACACGAUUGUGGUGGUUAUGUGCAUUUCACUCCUCUAUAUGGGGGUCAACCAGAGGAAGGGAGCUUCUAUUCACUUCACACGCAUGCACGAUCGGACAUUGUCAUUUUUCAUCGGGUUUGAACCGGAGGAUCUAUCCAUGAUGCAUUGCAUCAUUAUUCCUUCCCUCCUAAGUAAAUAUCAUACAUCUUCAACUAUAAGCUUGCUUUUUUUUUUGAGAAACCAAGAGCUCUAACUUCUGCGCUCAUUCGCGUUCUUCUGAAUUUUGGGUUAUUUGGUUCAUAGCCACACCUUAAAUCAGGCAAGUUUAUGUAAGUUAGGUGGGUGUUUGAUUUCGGGUCACACCUAAGGCAAGUAUUAUUUUAUGAGCAAUAAACCCGGCAUGUCAUACACACAAAAUGUGGCAAGAUUCCCUAAAGCAGGCCAUAGUGUGGCUAAGAAUUUGAACACGUCAAGUUAGGCAGGUGUGGCAAAAAUAAUAUGGCAACAUAUAGCAAAGACAGUCACAAACCGAAUAGGCUGAAUCUAUCCGCAUACAUCCGCCCUCAAUUUUUAAGGUCUGCACGCUCGAGAUAGCCUCAUAUCUAGUUCUAGUUUAGCUAAAAAAUGUUCAAAUGCAGCAGUUCUUCAAAUUUAAAUGUUGCAAUCCAACAAAUCAAAUUGUAAUUGUUCAAACUGGAAUUUAACAAGCACAUAUGUACUAGUUGUCACCUUUAACCGCUCACAGAUGCUCAAUGAAAUCUUUUUUCUGUUGCUCAUGAGUUGCUCGAUGCCGAAUUUGUUGAUGUGUUUUAACAAACUCAUCAAAUGUGGCCAGAUUCUGCUAUGAAAAUUCGAUAGGAUCACCCAUAUUCUUAAACUCAACAGCUACAGCAGCAUCUUCACCCCAUCCAUGAUCAUUGUGUGCAUGAUCACAAAACAUGUCAUCACCUCCCACAUGGUCUUCGGAUCUCAUUAUUUAAGAGGUCCGCAAAAUGUGCCUGCAGAACUCCAAAUGCCAUCUCAACAUCUUUUAUAUGCUUCUUGUUUUGGGGCAAAGUGAGACUUUUUCUAACUUAGUUGGUCAGAUAUGGUCUUGACAAAUUAGCCCAUGGUCAACCAGAUAUUACCCCAUGUUGUAUUCAUGCCCAUUGCCAGUAUAGUUGCAAGGAGGAGCUUUCACUUCAGUCAACCUAGCAAAUAUUGGUGAUCGCUGUAGGACAUUGUGAGACCCGGGCAUGUCAAAGAAAGCGUGCCAAAUCCAGAGAUCCUAUGAUGCAACUGCCUCAAGGAUGAUGGUGGGCUUCUUAACAUGACCCUGAUAUUGCCCUUGUAGAGUUUUUGAGCAGUUUUUUCAUCUCCAAUGCAUGUAGUCAAGAGAUCCAAGCAAACCCGACCACCCUCUUCCUUCAAACAUUGCCAAGAUCCUCUCCGUGUCUGCGACAGUUGAUUCUCUCAUGUACUGAGGUCCAAACACCGAGACCACGAGAGUAGCAAAUCUGACCAUGGCGUCUCCGCGUGUGCUCUCAGACAUCCGUAGGGAUUUGUCCCACGAAUCAGCGACCGUGCCAUAUGGAAGCAUCCACAAUGCAACCGUGCACUUCUGGUAACAUGAGAACCCAAUCCUUCCUACGGCAUCCUUCUUCAAAAUGAAGUAGUCAUCAAAGGACCGGGCGCCAUGAUAGUGAAUAUCAAUGAUAUUUUUUUCACAUCCAAAAGCGCCCGCGAAAAUUGUCAUCGAAUAGGGUAUCGGGGGCAUGGUAGUCGUCCAUCAGCGUCAAAUGGUUGUGUGCCCUGUUGCACUUGAGCACUAGAUGACGCUUGAUCGAUCCCUUGAAAUUGAGAACAUGCUCUUUCGCAUGCUCCACCUUUGCAAGGACCACCGGUAUCAUCGCCCUCCCAUCCGUGUAGUCCUCCUCGUUGGACGACUCAACAUAGUAUUCAUAUAUGUACUCCAUAUCCGAAUUCAUUGCUUCAAAGAAGAAGGGACAACAAAAUUUAGCACGGGCAUUUCACCGAACACUUCCCAAGCAUGGUUAGUACCGUAGGGGGGGUACCUGUGCAGCGGGCGGAGGAGAGGUGUCGAAUGACGACGAAGAACAAGUGGCGUGAAGCCCGGAUGUAGCGUUGGAGGUGACAGGGUCAUCAAGUUCCGACAAGGGUGUGGCAAGGCGACCGAGGUGGUGGAGCAGCGGUGGAGUCAAGAGAGAAAAAUGAUGCAGAGAAAUAUGGGAGGAUAGAGGUGUGGGGCCUGUGAGGGGUUUUGGGUGGGUUGGUGGUGUCGAAGUCUUACGUCGCUGCUGUCCGGAUUCCUACCAAGCUCCCCUCCCCCAGUUUGUUUUGGGUUUGCGAAAAAAAAUGCGCCUAGACCAGCGGUCUAGACAGUUGCGGGUAAUUUGAGGGUCCGCUUUAAAGAUGCCCUGAUGCGCGGACCACGGGAGGAGAGGAACGGGCUAACGAACGACGGUGCUUAUUCUUUGGGGAGCGAGGUUGAGGCACAAUUCUCUUUUUCGUUUCCCUUGUGCAUGCAAUAAAUUUUUCAUGACCGAUCUUCAAGAAGAAACAAAGAAGUAUACUGACUUAUUGGCCGUACGUGUUUCUCAAAUUCUCAUCGUUUACAAAAGAGAUCAAGAUUUUACCUUAGAGGAUUUAUAAGUUAUGGAUGAAGACCACAGAUACGCUAGAAAUAAUUCUUGGUGCAUGGAACACACACAUGAUACGACCCGAGGAUCGAUCAGGCUCCGAGGAGACCUGGGAACUUCCCAAUUGGGGUGUUGGUGGCCGCAGCAAGGUACUUGGCCAUAUCACGGCGACACACCGGGCACGUGGCCACCUUGGAUAACCACGGCGCAAUGGAGCCCCGGUGGAAGGAGUGGGAGCACGGCAGACUCACGGUAGCGUCCCUGUCGUCGCUGCCAUUGGCCGCCGCCAAAUCCUCCAUGCAUAUACUACAACACUCGGUAACCAUCGCCAAAAAAUAAUAGAAACCAAGAAACCGACAGAGAAAUCUAUAUCUAUAUCUAUAUCUAUAUCUAUAUCUAUAUGUAUAUGUAUAUAUCUACUAUUAAAGGGAAUAAAUAUUCUUAGUUUGGUUUAGUCCUUUUUGUUUGGUUUGAGUGCACGCUAAGCCAUCUGGGUCAGGUACUUGUAUGUUGAUGGGCCUUUUAUGUGCUUUUAUAGAGACCGCGAAUAAUAAUUAGGUCAAAAUAAAUCAAUAUUGUUGGAAUUGAUCACAGGAACUCCUAUCUGGAUGUUUUAUGUAACAACCAACGACCUAUACACCAUUCACAUUUACUAAUCCCAACUCGUUCUAAAUAUAUGAGUGGCAGCCCUCCUAUUUAGGGCGAGCUAAUUAAAGGAAGGACUCGAGGUAAAAAAAUAUAACAUAAUUUAAAAAAGAUUUGUAGGCUUUAAUGUGUUGGACUACUAAAUUAGAAAAGGAAUAAUUUGAUUCCCGACUAAAACGGGUGAGGCAUGGUAACUAAAGGAAGAAUUCUACUUAAAUGGAAUCGAUGGAAGAUUAUGCCCGGCAAAGAAAAUAUAACACCGCUAAAUUGCAUCGUAUUUUUUAUGUUCAUUUUAUAGAAGGAUGCUAUGAGACAUUAUGCUCGAACAAAACAUCAUUUUUUCCUGUUGCAACGCACGGGCAUAUGUGCUAGUCAAGAAAAAAGAAGAAGAAGAAGAAGAAGAAGAAGAAGAGAGAGAGAGAGAGAGAGAGAGAGAGAGAGAGAAUGGUUGAACCGGAAAUUGGGCUAGUCCGAAGUGGGCACCCGCCUGUGCGUUUGGCCAUCUAUUUGACGCAUUAUAUGUCAACUAGGAUUUUGUAGUUUUAUUAAACUGAGUUUCAACAAAAAAAAUUCUAAAAUACACAUUUAAAAAUAAAAUGGAACAAUACAACAACAGCCAGCGUUUGGUUAGCUUCAGGAGGUGACCUUGUUGCUCUCGCUGAAUGCGGUACCUGGGUACUCUCUUGCACACGAUGGGAAUGCCGAGAGAGAAGAGACAUUGUUGGUGGACCUAGAUAAGCUUAUAGGCAUAAGAAGGUGAAUCAAGAAAACCUUGAGUCUAUCUGGGCGUCUCUAAUCGGAAGUCUUUGAAGUGUUGGUUGCCGUGAAGCCCUGGAUUUGGUUGAAGACAUGAAUGAAUACUCUUCAAUGUUUGAUAGCAUGUGAUUGCAAAUUGGUGAUCGAAAGUAUCAAGGGAGUGGGAUGGGAAGAUAUGGUCACAUAGUUCAUGAGAUCAACGUUGUUGCUGGAAACUUAGACUAUGUGGGUUUUUCUUCAUGAGAGUAGAGCCUCUAAUGUAGAGGCAUAUAAUCUAGCUAGAUAUUCCAUGCAUGAUGUAAUUGGAAGUCAUGUGUGGCUUCUUUCACUUCCCACUAUCGUCGGUAUACUAGCCGCCUUGACUGAAUAAGAAAGGGCAUUGAUUCCCCCAAAGGAAAUCUUGAAGUCUAUUCCAUCCAAAGUAUUAGUCAAAAGAAAAUUCGGUGAAGGCUCAGGUGUCUCUUUUCAUGCUACAUAUGACAAGAAGAGAAUGAAGUCCGAAUUCCGAAUAAGGCUAGAUUCACCGGUUGAAAAAUUCACCCUAUGAUUGUGAUAACCGUGAUGAGUCUAGCCUUUGUAUGUUAGCACAAACGUGAAAGAUUGCCAGUAUGGUUGCUCUUAGCACUUGUGGUCUUUCUAACAAAUAUAUAUGGGUGGUCGAGGAAAUUACUGAAAUUCUCAUCUUGAAAGGUUCCUAGAAUAGCAAUCCAUAAUUUAUUGAGUAGUUUACCGAAUAUUGUUUGUAAAUGUAAUGCAACUAGUGUAAAGGUGUGGAAAACAUCUUAGAUUUGAAAAAAAUAUUGAACUCAUGUAAAUUACCAAGUAUAGUAGCAAUGGUAUUUGUGUGUUUGCUUGCCAUCAUCCCUACAUUUUAUCUUAAUAAAUAAUGAUAGACAAAAGAGGAAUGUGGAUAUUGAUGCUAAGCAAAGAGGAGCUCGAUCUAAACCUGAUCAUUCUCUGGGCAAGGCCGGGUUAGGGUAUUAAAAUAUGUUCAUGGUGUCUCAUCAUGUAUAUGAAAGUAAUGUUCAUUCUGAAUUAGAAAAUUGUUCUUAGUUUAAUAAAAACUAUUCCUCGUCACUUAUUAAAAAUAUAUUCUCCAUGCAUUAAGCAAAUGUCCAUCAUGUUUUAAAAAUAUCCAUCUAUUAUUCAGAGAAUGUUCUAGGUGUAUUUUAGAAAAUAUUUCUUCUGUAUUUCAAAAAUAUUCAUGUAAUUCAAAAGGUGUUCAUAUGUUUAAAACAAUAUUCAGGUAAUUUUAAAAAUAUUCAUGUGAUUUCAAAAGUAUUCAUAUAAUUUUAGAAAAAAUCCCACAUGCUUUAAUAAAAUAUGUAUGUAUUUUGAAAUAGCGCAUGUGUUAAAAAUAGUUCAUGUAUUUUUAAUACUAUUAAAAGGAAAAGGUAAAAAACAAAGAAAAAGGAAAAAAGUGAGAACAGGAAAACAAAAAAGAACUGCAACAUAAAAAAUAGAUUCAUCAUUUAAAUGAAAAUUGUUCAUCGCGUAUUUAAAAAUUGCUCGCCAUUAAUUUCGUAAAUGAUUAUAGUGUAAUUCAAAAACUCUUGCAUUAAAAUAAUUAUAAGGAAAGUGAUUCUUCAUACAUAGUUUUUCUUAUAAUUUUUAAGAAUUGUUUAUAAGAAGAAAAUUAAAGCCAAAUGAAACACAAUUCUCAUAAUCAUAUAAAAGUGAAUUUUCAUGUACAUUUUUUAUGGAAUUGAGUUCCAAAAUUUUGACCGGAAAAUAUGUUUAAAAACAGAAACAUAUAUAUUAGUGGAACAACACAAGAAUGGUCCGCCAUUUAUCUCAGCUGGUGGUGGCCUCGCUGUUACUGCUAUAUGGAGGAUCUAGGUGAGUGCAGAUUUGCAGCUCCCGAGCACCAGUGCUCUCUAUAUUUAAAUAUUUUGAAAUUCGUGUUUUUAAAGUUUCAAAAAAAUUGAAUUUUUUCCCGAGGAUACACGUACACAUUCCGAAUACCCGUGGCAAGUUUCGGUAGAAAAUAUCGUUUUGUUUUAGGCUAUAGAAAAAAACAAAUUUCUGACAGUGUAUAAGAGAACAAUUGUGCCAUUUCUGUCAGAAAUUUCUCUUUUUCGUAUUUCCCAAAAUACAAAGUAUUUUUUAUCAGAUUUUUACCGGGCCUUAGGAAUAUGUGUAUGUAUUCAUGUAUUUUUUUUAGAAUUUUUUUUUGAGCGGACACUGUGGUGCUCACUUCCUGGUGGGCUGAGAGCAUGUCAUUUGGCACGCUUUUAGCACCGUCAAGUGUCGUGUUUUGGACACUUUCUUCGGGUUUUGUUUCUAUUUUGUUUUUUCGCACACAUUUUUAGAUUUUUAAGCGGUUUUUUUAUUAUUAUUUUUUGACUUUUUGGCUUUCACCGGUCUUCCUUAGCUUUUGGACAAAAAAAUAUUUGAAUAAUAAUUCACGAAAAAUAUGUUUUUUGUCUUUCGCAAGGCACGAUUUUGCUUUCGUGAGAGGUACGUUUUUGCUUUCGCGAGGGGCAUGGUUUUGCUUUUGCGAGAGGCACGGCCAUGCCUCUUGGAAACGGAAAAAACAUAUUUUCUAUUUUUUUUCUUUCGCGAGAGGCACGGCCGUGCCUUUCGAAAACGAAAAAAAGCGUUUUCUACUCUCUUUUUUACAAGAGGCACGGUUUUGAUUUCGUGGGAGGCACGGUUGUGCUUUCGCGAAACAGAAAAAAAUGUGUUUUCUGUUUAUUUUUCUUCCGCGAGAGGCACACCUCACCCAAACACGAACCCUGCCCAGGCACACCUCACCCGAACACGAAAAAAAAGCUCGGAUCUUUGACACACCUCACCCGAACACGAACCCUUCCCAGGCGGCACCUCCAAGGAGGAGCACGACAUGAAACACGUCGUUGCCACCCAAUCCUAUAGCCGAAUUUUGAGCUUUCACCCGAGAGGGGGAACGAGGGUGGAGAGGGGAGGACCUCGACUGCACCUCCAAGGAGGAAGAACGACACCAAUGGCGUCGCUACCGCCGAGCCGGUUAAGCCGACCACGAAGCACACACCAGCUCCAGAUCCGGCACUCGCGAGACACUAGCAGCUGGAGACGACGGUGCAAAGGGAGUCAAAGAGAAGGGAGCCAAACCUCGAAUCCGAUGAGAGGGAACUCCACGCCGUAGCCAGCCCCCACCGAUGGCUCACCACCUGCGUGGUCGAGCAAGCCGAUCAGAAUAAUCCACAACCAGCUCCAACCGAGAGGACGCAGUUGCCUCGCCAAGAAGGGUCGCCACCCCAGAUCCGAAAACCUCUGCCAGGGACACAUCAUCAAAGGCCUCGCCGCCACCUUCCCCAGCAUCCGCGGGAAAUUGCCGGUCGAGAUCAUCAGGUCGCUGCGAGGGAGAGCGGGGGAAGAGGGUGGCGGCGCGGGAGGAACCAUAGUCGCCACCAGUGUCGUCCAGUCGGACCAUGCGGGGCCUGGGAAGGGGACUACAAUCAAUUGGCCAGUGUUCCUGUAAGGCAGCCACUAGAUAACGGAAAUGUGUCCUCUCCUGUCUGUCGUCACCAAAGUUAUAAUAUUAAUUAAACUAGAUGAUGCCCCGCGCAUUGCGGCGGGACUUUCUAGCUUCUAUGUGCGGCUUCAAAAUAAGCACACAUAAUAUGAAUUAAAAAUGAAAUUUAAGGUCCAAUUUGGAUUUAUUUUUACAUUUGAAACAUUGAAUAUAUUUAUUGUUCACCACCAUACACGUAUUUAGCACUAACAUGCAAGCAUUCUUCAGGUUGGCUUGAAAAAAUUGAAAUAAAAACAAACAUUGGGGAAGAUAACUGAAGACACUUAGAGAAUGGACUCUUUAUAGUUUGGUUCAUAGCCACUCCAUCAAGAUCCUCGAUGGGUAGGCGAGGUUGCAAGAUUUCCUGGUCAAACUGAGACACGAUGAUUAGGUAACAUGUGAUUGAACAACUGGAAGGAAACUUUUAAACAUGAAUUAUAUAUCAAUGGUGUCUCAUAGGGGAAUCAAUAUGCAAUGUGUGACAAUUGCUUGGUAAUCUAAUGUGAUCAUUUUUCCUUAUUCAAUAUGGUCCAUACUAAAUUAUGAAAUUCCAACCCUCCUUAUACCAUAACCAUCUUGUUCCGAUAUAAGACAUGAGUUCCCCUAAAAAAAGAUAUAAGACAUGAGAUAUGCAGCAGAAUUUGACAACAAUCCAAUAAAGUGACUAAUAAACAUUUAUACUUGGGAAGUUGGGAUGGCAAAUAAUAUGAAAGUGCAUUCAUGUAUGAACAUAACUACAGAAGGCAUGUCAAAAUAUAAUAAACAUAUCAUGCAUGUGGGAACCAAUAGACAUGGAUGAUGGAUCCUUGGGAGGUUGGGAUGGCAAAGAGUAUGAACGUCUCUGAAUGAAACUACAUAAUACAUGUGAAAAUAAUAAUAGACAAAUCAUGUGAGAUAAACUCGGCCUUGUAGAGGAGGGCAAUUAGGUGGAGGAUGAAGAUCUACAAAUAAUGAAAAUACCAGGAGGAUGAAGAUCUCUUAUUAAAAACUUCUUCCAACAUACUCUGUUUUCAAUCUCUGCUAUAUAUAAAAAGAAAAAGGUCAUGGAAAGUUCAGUUGUAGUACUACAACCUGCAGGUUAGUCUUGCUUCCACACAACGGAAAAUAGUUCCGGGGAAUUACACUUAUCGUUCAGGCUCAUCAUGCACCUUCACUCCAUCCGCGGAUGAAGGUUACAGGGAAGUAUAAUAUUUUACCUUAGUGUCGGUCUGCUGCUAAUUGUUCUAGAUUGAUGUUGUAGUACCGUGGGCUUGGAUAGGCAGACAUGGUGAACAACUGACUGAAAUCAGUCAACACAAAUUGUUCUUUGGUGGAGUCGGUCGGGCAGAGGAGGAGACGCAAAUGUAGUGUCGUUGCUGGGAGGUGAUGGCAUGUCUUUUGGUGUCAAUAAUGAAAAAGAUAUUACCAAAGAUGCCAAGCUGAUGCUGGAGACGAUGCAAUGCCCUCCACUGUUUAGAGGUGGAAUUUAGCGAGGCAGGGGAAGUCGCCUAGAGUCGGCGGCGUCGUUGCUUAUGGGCAGCAGGGUCGAUGCUGCAGGGUAGCGGCGAUGUCCUGAGGCAUGUGCUUCUCUUCUUGAGGGCGGAUCACACUAGUGCGUCUGGAUCCAUCAGGGCGGCGGCCUGCAGCAGAGAAACUCCAUCGUCGAAAUUCAUCGCCUGCAUGUGGAUUUGCAUGCACCAGUUGUAUUAUCAUCGGUUGGUCUACAGUUCUACACAUCGGUUUGGAUUCUCAUGAACACGCAUGCUCAUGGUUGUGCUAAUUACGACCAACAAAUGAAUCAAAAAUACCAAGAGGAGGAUGAAGAUAAUUAACGGAUUCAUAUAGUUGAUCGAUCCAUCAAGAUAGAAUGGGUCAUCUUAAUGUAUACACAUUACCUGCUGAUGUUGAUCUACCCAGAUGAGCUAGCAAGAAAAGAGUAGACUUCUACAGCAGUGAGGAGGAGCAUCGAGAGUCGACAGCCUUGACCUCACGCUUGUGGAACCUACGGUGGCAGCCGCAUGCAGCGCGGAGGAGCGGCUCGACAGUGCCCUUUGGGUCGACGCCAUGAACUCGCGGCAGCUAUGAACAUGCCCACCGAUGCCGGCAGCAUGGUUGCAUUAUCCUGAGGUCAUGUUCAUGAAUAAAUUCUGGAUGGGGCGGUAGCUGUGGUGGAGGCUACAGGAAUAGAGGAGAUUGGUUGCUUAAAAGGCGUCUAUCUGUUACUCUUCCAUCAGUUUUUGGUGGAUAAGAGACGAAGAGAUCUGUUUUCCUACAAUUAAGAGAGGCAUGAAAUUAGUUGGUGGGCCAUGCUGGGAAUUGAGGAGAUGGAGCUGCAAUGGUGGGGAGCUCCAACGUUUCUUCUUCUUUCGUACUAUAAGCGACCAAAAUGUCAUUUUUAAACAAAAAAAUUAGGCAAUGACAUGGUAACUUCGUUGAGGUGGACGCGCGAAAUUGAAAACUGAAAGUUGAUGUGGCAUGAAGCUGAUGUAAACAGUGUACAUGUUAAAAGAAUUGGUUAUAAUGAGGAUCAACUUCUUAAAAAUGUAAGAUGCUAACUAGCUAUCAGUGGAAUGUAUGAUGUUACUUACUACGACCGUCAACCCUCAGAAGAAAAACGGUAUUUGAAUACAAAGACAGCUUAUUCCUUGACUCCUUGUAAGACAAUCAUAUAUAUGGUGAUUUCAUCGAGCGAGGCGUUUUGCCUCCCAGGCUUAGAUGAGACCAUGAGUAAUUAAAAAACAGUUGGAGAUAUUAAAAAUAUUUUAAAGGAUUUGUCUACGUCUCAGCCGACUGAGACUUUACUGACGUCAUCACAUAUAGAUUAGGCCUGUUAACUAGCCUCUAUCUGUUGGGUUGAAUCCGGUUUAGCAUCUGGGCUUAUUUUCCUUUCCAUUGUUUGUUUGUUUGUUACUUUUGGGCUGGGCCGUUCACUUUUGGGCGCCGCUCUCCUCCGCACGUGACUCUGCUGAUCCCUGCUGCUGCCUCUCACAGCCUUGUCGUGUUGUAAACCGUGUGGCACGGUGCGUGUAGGAAGGCAGGCACGAUGACCAACGACGAGGCCUUGUUGCUGGCGCUCCAGGAGACGGUCAGGUACGGCAUGUUCCUCGGUACAUGCAACUCGAUCCUCUCCUCGGUCAAUAAAAGAAAAAAGCUGAAUUCCAACUAAGUUAGAAGUCAUAUAAUUGUGCAAUUGUGUGCCUGCAAUUGAGCAUGCAACCGGCCACUCUCUCUUACUACCGUCGCCCCCUCCGAUAAAACAAAGGACCCAAUUGCAACCAAAUAAGAAAGACAUGCAGUUGCGUGCCUAGUGUGGGAUAUGCAAAAAAGAAAAAGGUGAGUUGCAACCAAGUUAGAAAACAUGGAGUUGCAUGACUAUAGUUGAGCAUGCAACUGGCCUCUCUCUCUCUUAUUGCCGCCCCUUCCCACAAAAGAAAGGCCCCCAGUUGCAACCAAGUUACAAGACAUGCAGUUGUGUGCCUGGUGUGUGACAUGCAACUAGCGCCUCUCCUCAUCUGACAAAACAAAAGCUAAGUUGCAACCGAGUUAGAAGACAUGCAGUUGCAUGACUAUAGUUGAGAUUGCAACUGGCCCCUCUCUCUCUUACCGCCGUCAUCCUCCGACAAAACAAAGGUCCCCAGUUGCGACCAAGUUAGAAAACAUGCAGUUGUGUGCUUAGUGUGGGACAUGCAAUUGGCCCCNNNNNNNNNNNNNNNNNNNNNNNNNNNNNNNNNNNNNNNNNNNNNNNNNNNNNNNNNNNNNNNNNNNNNNNNNNNNNNNNNNNNNNNNNNNNNNNNNNNNNNNNNNNNNNNNNNNNNNNNNNNNNNNNNNNNNNNNNNNNNNNNNNNNNNNNNNNNNNNNNNNNNNNNNNNNNNNNNNNNNNNNNNNNNNNNNNNNNNNNNNNNNNNNNNNNNNNNNNNNNNNNNNNNNNNNNNNNNNNNNNNNNNNNNNNNNNNNNNNNNNNNNNNNNNNNNNNNNNNNNNNNNNNNNNNNNNNNNNNNNNNNNNNNNNNNNNNNNNNNNNNNNNNNNNNNNNNNNNNNNNNNNNNNNNNNNNNNNNNNNNNNNNNNNNNNNNNNNNNNNNNNNNNNNNNNNNNNNNNNNNNNNNNNNNNNNNNNNNNNNNNNNNNNNNNNNNNNNNNNNNNNNNNNNNNNNNNNNNNNNNNNNNNNNNNNNNNNNNNNNNNNNNNNNNNNNNNNNNNNNNNNNNNNNNNNNNNNNNNNNNNNNNNNNNNNNNNNNNNNNNNNNNNNNNNNNNNNNNNNNNNNNNNNNNNNNNNNNNNNNNNNNNNNNNNNNNNNNNNNNNNNNNNNNNNNNNNNNNNNUGGUUUGAAGACAUGCAGUUGCGUGCCUGUUGUGGGACGUGCAACUGGCCCCAUCUCCCUCGACGUCGCCCCCUCCAACAAAACAAAUGCCUCCUAGUUGCGACCAAGAUAGAAGAGAUGAAGUUGCGGUCCUAGUGUGGGACAUGCAACUGGCCCCCUCUCUCGACGCCGCCCCUCCAACAAAACAAAUGUCCCCCAAGUUGCGACCAAGUUAGAAGACAUGCAGUUGCGUGCCUGUUGUUGGACAUGCAACUGGCCCCAUCUCUCUCGAUGUCGCCCCCUCUGACAAGAUGGUACAACCAAAUUUAUUUACAUAUAAUAAAAAGUAUUAUUGUUGCCCCCUAAAAUUAAUUUAAUAUGGAAAAUGGUGGCAAUGUACUAAGGGCAUUGUGCCACCAAAAAUCUCCCUGGUGUGUCAACACACAACAGAAAAACACAAAAAAGCAGCACAUCAAAAAAGUUGUCCAAAAAAAUAAAGAAAAGACAAGCAUAAGUUAUAUCCUACAAAACACACUCUCUUGUCCCUAUUUAACAUGACUUGAUUAAUUUUUGCUAUCAUGCUAGGAAAAGUGCAUUGUUCCACUAAAGUGUUCAGAAAAAAAAGUCAUAGCAUGAACUAAUAAAGUGUUGACUAGUACUUUUGAUGAAUGGUAGACCAGAAUAUUCUCAGCUAAAAGAACCCAAAAAAAGAAAAAGAAAACUUCUUUGAAAAAAGUACCUACAAGCAUAGAAAAAAGGUGGUGCUACUAGUUAUAAGAAAAAAAAUCUAUUAUAGCUGCUUGGCCUUACUACUAAUUUUAAGAAAAAAAAAAUCUUAACUCGAUAUAGCCUCCUAAGAAGAAACUUACAAAAAACAAAAUGAAAAAUAAAAUAUAAGUGCCACACUAGUAAAAUGGGUUGGGAUUAAAAAUCUGAGAAAGGAGACAACACAUACACUGCUAGUAAAAAUGGAUCCACUGAAAAAGAUACAGCAUGCUCUACUUUCCCAGGGGAUUAUUUCAACAUUCUACUGAGACACAAAAAGAUUUAGUACCAAAAAAAAUCGAACUCCUAGUAGAAAAAAAUAGUUUCAGUAACCAUACCAACACCUCUGGAUUACUGUAAUCAAACAUCUGUCCGUGAAAAAAACGAAUCUACAUUAUAUGGAUACAUGCAAAGUUGCAAACCUACAUAUACCACUAAAAUUCAGCAUACAUCUUAAUACACACGAACACAAAAAAUGAAAAUCUAAUAAAAAACCAAGAGUUACACACUGGGGGGCGAUUCUCUACUUGAAAAGUACUAAACCAAUAUACUCCCUCCGUCCGGAAAUACUUGUCUUAUAAAUGGUUGUAUCUAGACUUAUUUUAGUUAUAGAUGCAUCCAUUUUCAACCAUUUGUAAGACAAGUAUUUUCGAACGGAGGGAGUACUUGAUACAAAAUAAAAAAACUGGAACCGAUACAACCCCGCUCAGAUCUAUGAUAUGCCGUGCCGUGCAAAAAAAAAAGGCAAGCAAGCUUGUGGAUGACUCACCUGUCCAGCAGCAUCGCCCAUCCUCUCUCGCUGGGAGUGCAGGAGCGCUCGGAUUUUGGAAGAAGAGGAACGGAGAGAGUGGAAUGGAUAGAGAUGAAAUGUCUGCAGCUAACUGCUCCAUUAACUACCAUGGUGCCUGCUCCCCUUCCCUCCCAGCGGCCCGAGAAGAAAAACAAGAUAGAAUAAACAAACAAAAAAGCCCACCCCGCACAAACUGCUCCAGCUAGCCAACCCCGCACAAAUGCUCACGGGUGGCCACGCUUCGACGGAAAAAAUGAAACGGGCCGGUCCUGCGCCUUGCACGGGCCGAAAAGAGGGACAAAGCGCUCCAGCGAGAAUCUUCACGCGACUACAUAUCGGACGGCAGACUUCGCGAAGUAGUCUCAGUCGACUGAUUUUUAGCAUAUCCGUAUUUUAAAAUAUCCAAAAGAAUUUGUGGAAAAAGAUGACUAAAUGCGUGAUGACCGUGUCAAAUUUUAAAACAUUUGAUGUCUGAGUAGCUAGGACAAAAUUAGGGUCUGAAGAUUUUAGCACGCACCAAGCAAUCUUUCUUAAAAAAUGAUUCAGGUUUUUUUGAAUUUUUUAGUAUUAUUUUUAUUUUCUUCAAAAAAUUGGCACGUGCCUCACGCACUCGGUAAUCUUUCUUCAAAAAUGAUUCCAACCAGUUCACUGUUUAGUUACUGUAACAUUACACAUUUUAAGAAAAGAUAAGUGUAACGUAACAAAUGCAGUGAUGCAUGGUACAAUACAUACUCCACUAUGAUAGUCUUAGGUCGUUGACGUGCUCAUCAUCCCUCACCAGCGCCAAAGAUGAAAAAGGUUCGACUCGGCCACCACCCCCAAAGUGCAAUUCAGGGCGGGCAGCUCCGAUAGUGAUAAAUUGGGGUAGGAUAUGUAAGACUAGAAUCAGAUUGAUUGUGGUAAGUUUAUAUUCACAUUUGUUGAGUGGGAACCGUUGCAGCUCAUUUGUUAGCUUUCAUUAAAAAGCUAAUACUGCCUCAGUCCUGCAUUCCUUAGAUUUGCAGACACCAUCCCAAAAUAAACAACUCAAUUUAAUAUUAACUUGGGACAGAUGGAGUACAUCCAUAGAAAUUGUUCAGUUGAUAGAUUCCUAAGAUCUACUAUUGACAGGAGUAGAUUUAUAACAGUUAAAACUACGAUACAAGUUAAAACAACUUAAUAAAGAGAGUUCUACAAUUGUAAAACUUUCUGAAUAUUAAGUUCCGAUCAUAUAUUAGAUUCGGAAGUUUUGUAUAAUCAUGAUGGAAGUCUUGCUUUCUUUAUUUCCUCGAUAUUACUACUUCCUGCCAUUCCAAAUCAUUAGUCAGGUUUUACCCUCCACAAAGAAACAUCAUUAUAUGAUGUGGUACGGUGGACAAGCUGUUGUCGUUCCCGCUGAACGAUGUGUCGCCGCCCCCAUGUAAACAGUGCCUCCUCCAGAUCUGCUUCAUCUCCUUUCCAACAAAAUGAAAAAGACCAACACACACACACCCUCCAAAGAAUAAAACUUGCCCAACAAUCACUCGUAGUAAACCAUUUUAACUACUCCCUCAAACGAUCUUAUAUUUCUUUACAGAGGGGGUAGAAUACAAGAACCGAGGGCCAUGAAACUCUUGAAAAGAGGACUCUCAGAUUGCAUAAUCUUACCCCUAAUUUCUUCCCAAUCCAAAUCGGACUGAAAUCAACGAAGUGGUGAAGGUAAAGCUCACUGGGAGCGGCUGUUGAGGUGAGAUUGCCCCCUACGCGUGCACGGAGUCAAGCUGCCGCUAUAGGGUAUGGGGUAAUCUCAUCUCAACGGCCGCUGCAGAGAGAAAAGGCAGGGACGGAUUCGAGCUGCUGCGGCGGCGCAGGAAUAUUGUGUGGAUCUGGCGAGAUGCUCCGGGAGAUGGAUCUGGCGAGCCAUUGUGAACCGAGAGAGGAUUGUGUGGCG